CGCCAAUUAUUCGAGUAAUUGAGAAAUAGUGAAGCGUACGCUUCCUAUCUCCUUUUCAUCCCAAGUUUAAGUUUAAAAGAAAAAUUCUUUUGAAAUUGAAUGGUUCGGAAAAAAUGAGUUGAAGUUGUGUGAUCUAAGAAUGGAAUGAAUUUUAUUUAGUGUAUUAUUUCAUCUACUCGAUUAAUCAAUAACCAAGUAGGUUUCAUUGUAAGGAAGCCCAAGAGUAAGCUAUGUGAGGUUGAUGGCGAUGCGAAGAGCAAUCGACUUACAAGGGUGUUUUAAAAUGGGCUCGAUAUUGGAUCGAGAAUUGUAUGAUUGUGCUUUUUUUAAAAUUGGCUUGUGUUGGAUGAUGAAAUGAAAUUGAAAGUGAUUAUGAAAUGAUGAUGGAAAAGAAAUCGACCAACCUUAGGUUAAGUCAAUUAAUUGAAUUAAUUAAGAUUAACUAUCAACAUUAUUUAAUUAUCCCAAAUAGUUAAUUAAAAUUAAUUAAUUAAAAUGUAUUAAUCCAAUAAAAGUUCAAUUAAUUAUUAUUAAAAAAAACAAAUGAAAAUAAGUGACAAUUUUGAUUUAUUUAAUGAAACCGAUAUGCUCAAAACCGGUUUGUACGUGAUGACCAUAUGAUUGAGGUCAUACGCAAAAUCAUAACUCGGUGAAAAUGUACAAUUAAUUUUAUUGGAAUUUUCGGGCGGCAUAACGACAUGAAAUUGUCGAAUCCGAGAAUGAAACUCUGAUUUUACCACAGAAAAACAAUUUUGCAUUAUUUACAACAAUAUAGAAUUAUUUUACUAGAUGUGUGGAGACUCACAAACCAACUAAAAGCAGGAUGGAACCCUUAUUAAACUAUUGAACACAACAUAAAGUUUCUAUAAAGCCAUGAUAUGCUAAUAAAACUAAAAUAAUGUAUGAACAGAAACCACAUAUUUAUCAUGUACUAUUUAUUCACAGUAUCCAUAACAAUAGCAUACGAAGUGAGUUGCAGGAUUUCAAUUCAUAAUUCCCACAAUAACAAUAUAUGCCAUAUCUCAAUGAUCCUGAAACGUACAAUACUUUAAACAGAGUUAUCAUCAUCAGUUAAAACAAUAGAAAUCAAUUCAAGCAUAUAAAACUAAGGAACACUAUAUCAAUAUAUAUCUACAUAAAGUCCUAAUUAUGUAAUCACUAGUUCAUAUAUUAGAACUUCAAGUUAAAAUGGUAAAUAUUUUACAGAGGGUCCAUCCACAUAUUUAAUCCAACUCUCACAACACAAUGCAAUGAACAUAACAUUAACACUGGCAGCUCAUACUUAUCUACAUAUUAACACAUAUAAAAUGAAUCAACCAAACUAAAGCAAACUUCAUCAAACUAAAAUAAAUCUAAGCAAACUAAUAUUAUGAAUAUUUACAAAUUAUCCACAGAGUAUCAGUUAAAACAUGAUAAAACAAUUACAGUCCAAUAAAUAGAUUAUACACAAGCGAUCUUCAUAACAAUGGCGGUUCGAUUCACAUGUGUAUGAAUCGCGACAAACCAACAACCAAAAUAUUUGUAUUUAUUAAAGAUUAAUGUGAAAUAUCUUGUAUCUCAAAAGCUAAUCUUCACAGUACUCAUAACCACAAGGAUUAACGUCAUUGUUUCUUUACACAAACCAUUCUACAAUAUGCAUAUCAUAACAGGAAUAUGUUUUACCAACACACAGAUGAUUGAGAAUAUGUGACCCGAAAUCAGAUUUUACACAGUUCAAAGAUCAAAUUAAAAUUUUAAUCUUGAAAUGAAACAGGUUACCAAAACUUACUCUGAAGCUUCACCGUGGUUUGCUGUUUUCGUUGAGGCUUUCGGCAGCGGCAGAUUCUGGCGAUGGCUUGGUGAUGGCAGUGGAAAAGUUUUGACGGACGGUGAAAGGCGAUUGAAGGUGAUGAAGCUAGAGGCGACGAUGGAGUGAGAGGGUCGAUUUUGGGUUUGAGGUUUUACGGCGAUGUGUGGCGGCGAGGUAAGCGAUUUACACGGAGGUGGAGCGGAGGUUGCGGUUGCUUGACGGUAGUGUGGAUAGGCGGAGGGUUUUGAUGGUGAGUGGUGUGGUGGCUGAGGUUUUGAAGAUGUACUCGUAAGGAGGACGACGGUGGUUUUAAUGGAGGUGACGGCGGUGUGGAGUUAAGGGUUUUGAAGGUAGUGGAGACGGAAGGAUUCGCCGGCGAAUUUGUGUGAAGAUGAUGGGAACGGCGGCGAGGGUUUUGAAGAGAGAUUUGGGGUUUUGGUGGUUGUUUAAUGGUGGUGUUGGUGGAUGAGUGAAUCGAUGGAGGUGGUGAUUUGAAGCGAUGAAGCUGGAGGCGACGAUGGAGAAUGUGUGAUUUUGACGGUUGGUUGAAGAGAUGGAGAGGAAAUUUCCGAGAGUGAGAGGAUGGUGAGGUAGCGGCGGAUAGGGUUUUGUGAGAUAUCUGAGAGAGUGAGUGAGGAGAGUGAGAGAUGGAAGGGAGCGUUUUUGUGCUGAGAUUUUUUCUGAGCAAAAUGAGAGUCAGUACUGUAGUGAGUAGUGAGUGGUUUUUUGUAUAUAUUUUCUUUUUGUCGUUUGUGAGGAGAGGAUGGAGAGAGUAAGUGGAGCGUGAGUGGAGCAGGGAAUGGUUACUGAGUGGGGAGAGAGUGGAGUGAAGAGAGUCUUUUGUUUUUGUUUUUUUUUUGUCGUUUGUGGGAAAGCAAAGAGAGAGAAGAUGGACUGAAUAGUGAAUUGAAUAGUGAAUGAGGGAGUUUGUUAGGAUUUGAGAGAGAUAGUGGGGAGUAGCUGGCAGACCGUUGGGAACGUGAGUGGAUUGGGAGUGGAUUCUGAAUUUUGUUUUUUUUGCGGAUUGGGUAUCCAAUGUAAUAUAUAUAUUUAUCUUGUACUUACUAUUUAUUUAAGAAAAUAAAAUCAACAACAAAAAAAAUCUAACUAAUAUAAAAAAAACUAACUAAUAUUAAAAAACAAAUAUUAUUCUAAUUUCUUUUANCUAAUAAGAUAUUAUUCUAAUUUCUUUUUUAAAUAUCAAAAAUAUUGACCAAUUAAAAAUCGGUACAAAUUUAAUUUCGGAAAAUUAAACCAAUCACACUAAAUUUGUCAGCACACAACCUAUUUUUAAAAAAAUACAGUCUUUCCUCAAUUUUAACGAUUCAACAUUUUUUGAUUCUCAAUAAAUUCAUUUUGCAGACUUCUUAGGUGUUUUCAUGAUGCAAAUGUAUGUCAUGUUAUGCAUAUGAUGCUAAAUUAAAAAGAAAUAAAUUCUACGAAAUCUAAAUGCCGGACAAAUUGGGGUAGAAGCAUCACCCAUGCAGCUAGAGGACGAGAAGUGAAGCCAGUUGUGUGGUAAAGAGUUAGCUUGGUGAAGGUAGCUUGGGCGAGGCCAGCUGGUAGAAAACUAACUUGGGUGAGAGUCAGAUGAGGGAUUUGUUUUGUCUAUAUCACUUGAGGAUUUUUUAGGGCCGAAAUUCUUUAAGUGGAUGAGGUUGUACACCUAUUUAUUGAAUAUUAUAUUAAUAAUUAUAAUUUUAUGUGUGUACUAAUUUACUAUUUGUUUGAUAAUUGAGAUGUGUUAGGCGCAACAAAUUGGUGGGAUUAUUGCGUAGAAGAAUAUGGAGAAGUGUUAUGGGUGGUGAUUUAGUUUAUAAUUUUUAAUUAAUUAAAAAAUAUUUUAGUGUUUUAUUUAAUAAAUAAAUAAAAAGGAAUUAAUUUUGGGAUGGAAGUGCGAAUUGUGAUCAAUUAAAUAUAAUGUAGUUUAAUAUAAGUUGUGCCUUAAUGAAUUUAGAAAGAUAGAUUAGGUUUUAAUUUAAGGAGGAGAGAGUGAAGGAUUUUUUUACGGUAGGUGAGAGUUUUUGGAAUGAAGGAAAAGAGGCAAGAGAGAAGAAGAAAUGAAAACCUCGUGAGAGCUCUAGGGGAGAAUAAACCAAACUUGGAUUUAUGUUGAAAUCCACACUCUUAUGGAGAAUUUAUAUCAUCUUGCGUGAAACAGAUUAUUAUCACCACACAAUGACAAUGAAAGAACAUAAUUUGAGAAGAAAGAAGAGCGAUGGAGAAGAAGAAUAUUUUCUGCAAAGUUUCUUUAUGCCCGCAACCAGUGGAACAUUCUUUUAUUCACUUUGCAACUACAAAAUUUUGUGAUACAAUGAUGAAUACAAUAUUAUCGAACUAGACUAGUUACUCCCUCUAUUUAUAGAUUUAGUUAACUUACUCAUAGAUCAAGCCCAAAACUAUAAAGUCUGAGAUAGUUACAACACUAAAAAUAAGGCCUACGUCGAAAUCCUGUGAUGAGCAAAUGCUUCGAUCUUGACACAUACACUCGCACAUAGGUGAUUCUCACUUCUUUUUUUUCGGCAACCUGCUUCGAACAAGAGAUUACAAUUAACACACCACCUAAUUCAUUAUGCAUAGCAUCUACAUUCAUCAUAACUCUUAGUCUUCUGGCACUUUGACCCACAACUCCCUUCGUCAUGAUGUUUGCUAUCGUGAUCUCUUCAUGUAGUUCUCCAUAUUCAUCUUCCCCUCUCUUGCUCUCGAAGAUAAUGGACUCAUUUGAUAUGUUGCUCAUCGACAUGUGCUAUCCGGAUUCUUAGCUAGAUGAUAGCUGACAUUGUUGAUCGAUCUUCAUGGUAUUUCUCCAUGCUCUUCUGCUAUAUCCUUUUGACCAGAUCAGCAUCACGUUGCUUGACAUGCACAAAGAAGAGAACAUCUAUAUAUUCUACUUAGCGACGACUAAUGUCACACUGGCUCCUUUCUCAACUCAAGCAAUUGUGCACCACCUAGCAUAAACACAAGCAACUGUGGAUUUUCGUCCUCAUCACACUACACCUACUUGAGUCAGUGUAUACCCAUAUAGUUUGCAUUGUUUUCCUUAUCAGUUGCAUGAAACAAAAUGCCAUAGUGAGAAUCCUUUCAGAUACCUUAGUAUCUCUUCUCGCUUUAGUGAUACCGUUUGGUGAUGCAGUGAAUUAUCACCAUACUCACUAUAUGCUAUCUAGGCCUUGUGUGAGAAUGAUAUCGAGUGCCCAAUAAAGUCUUCUAUAUUGAUUGGGUCGACAUCAUAUUCAUCUGGUCUUUCAACAAUUGUAAUCUGGGCUCAACUAGAGGUCAAAGUUGGGUUAUAAUCUUGCAUCUAAAAUCUCUGGAGUAUUUCGCCGCAUACCUUCUGUGAGCUCAUCAAACCUCUUCACUCUUGAGAUUCGAUUCCAAGGAAUAUGAAUGUCACCCAAAUCUGACAUAUUUGAUUCCUGUUGAAUCACCUUUGAAGUUUUCGAUAUCUUUCUUGAGCUACCUGUUAUCAACAACGUACAUCGAUAUAGAGACAUAGUAUAGCAAUUCACUCUGUUUUUUUACAUAUUACUGCUUGUUCAGUUUUCACUUUACAAAUUCCUUUCCUUAGGAAGCCAUCUAUUAUCUUGUUCAAGUCUUGUGAGCUGUUUAAUGCCGUACAAGCGGCUUUAUGCAGCAUGUACACCUUUCUUUCUUCGCCUUGUUUCACAACCCAGCUGGUUGUGCACCAUAAACUUCUCUCUAAGGGUCCAUUAAAGGAUGCACAUUUCACAUCCAUAUGACACAUCUGCCAGUUGUUCAUGUUGGUUAAGCCACAACCAAACCUGAUUGUUUCGAUCUAGCAAGAGGUGCAAAACUUCGUCGAAGUCGAUCCUUUCUUUUGAAAAAUUUUCUCCAAAAGUUCCGCCUAUGUGUCAAGUCACAAUUUCCUUGGGAUUCACACCUUCACCUUGUAUACCCACUUCACAUCGAUUAUCCUUCUUGUUGGGGAAUUUCAUACAAGUGUGACCAGUGUUGUUGAUUCAAUUGAUCGCGGUUCUUCGUUCAUUCUUUCACCCAUGUCGAUCUGUCAGUCCUCAGUUAGACAUUGACUGGGUCACAUCUGCGUGAAAUGCAUAUGUAACAACUCACCUCUUCGAUGAUCCAUUAUCAGUCUAAUGUAUCACACAUUCUCUACACCUUGCAGGCACGUGUUCUGUUCUUUGAGUCUGCUUUAGGCACUGUUUACCUUGACUUCUUGUCAAGACUUCUUUUCGAUCUCACUUAGCUGCAUGCUUCAUCGUAAGAUUCUCCACUGAAUCCUUCUAAUAUUCUCAAUCAAUCCCUUCCUAUAGAUGCAUAUAUGUCAUAUCUCCCUACUGUCACACUUGCUGCCACUGUGUCGAAUAACGGUGUAUUCUCGUCGAAUGAAUAUACCUAUCAGAAUUCACUGAUUGACUCGUCUAAUAAGUUUUCUUCACAACAACUGAUCCGGGCACGUUGUUAAUGUGCUAGAUCGCAACCGUCUCAAGAUGAUUCAAGCUAGACUUGUACAUCACACAACAUUCUUAUGAGACGGUAUUCUCUCUUAGCCUUUCAGUCGGAAUAUCUUGUUCAGGAUACUAUGUUCUGCAGCUAGAAUAACUUUCCCAUAAUUCUUUACGGUAUGAUGAUUGCCUGUCUCAAACAUACUUCUAACCAUAUUCACAUCGAUGGUUCUAUUUCUGUUAAGCGAUCUCAUUCAUGCUGUGAGUUGUAGGGUGACACCACCUCUAUGCAGCAUCUCGCUGUCUUACAUGAUAUGCUGUAAAGGUAUUCAGACAAUUCUCCACCACCAUCAGUCCUUGCCAGAAUCUUGUUCCUAUAUAAUGUUUCUUUGUCUUUUCGACCAUAAUUUAAACUUCGCAUAGUACAUCGAUCAUCUUCAGUUCUGUCUGAUAGUAUCAUCCAUGUUUUUGAUUGACAUCAUCAUAUCAUGAAUGUGACAAAGUAUUUAUUACCCACACAUGAAAUCGCUACCUGCGAUAUGACAUAUACAUCAAGAGUAUAUGCUUCAAGAAUGCUCUGUAUCGACUGAUUCCUGCAUCCUUAUUGAAGUGUUCUUAUGUCUGCUUCCGCCUGCAUUACAUGUCUACACACUUCUGUUUGAUGUCGGUAUUUUAUCUGAAACCAUAUUUUUACCUGUGAAUUUCUGAUGUCUUUUGAAAUGAUAUGACUAAGGUCUAAUUCCUUAUAUUCGAUCCUUUUGUUUGAAGCUCACUCUGUCUUUUCGAAGUGCUAUUAUGCUCCCAUCAAUUAUAGCUCAAUGCUUGAAGGUUCUUAUUCUAAGACAUUAGCGGCCUUCAAGGAUCAACGUUCCAGUUAGUAACUUAUCAUCUUGUCUUUGAUCUCGACACCUUUAUGUCUUUUCGACUAACUGCCUUACUGUAGAAAUAAUUGCUUAUCAGUUGGUAUGUAUACAACACAUUUGAAAUUACUGAUGCAGUCUUGCAGUUUCUUCAAUAAUCGCACAUCACCAACAUCUUCAUACGCUAAGGGUUGUCAUUUGCAGAUUUACAGCGUUCUUCAUUCUGAUGCUUUAUCGUUGACAAACCAAUAUUUCCUUCUCAGACUGUGUGUAAAGCAUCCUGAGUCAGAGUGGACUGUCUUGAAAUCCGCCAUCAUCUCCCCCGUGUAACCAGUAAGCAACCUUAUUUUCUUUGCUUUUCUCAUCUUUGCAUAAUUUCUUGAUUCUUCUGUCUUCUGGAAAAUCACUGAAUAGUACCAUGCUUACUAGAUUGUAAAUUGAAAUAUGACUCUUUCUGGCUUCUUGACAUCACCUCUUCCGUCUACUGCCACAACCACCUCUUUGGUUGCUUGGUUCUAGGGUCUUCUUCUGAUGCUACCAGUUUCGCUUCUUGUUGUUCGAGCCCAGUCGAAUGUUGUGCCUUCUAUCCUUUCUUUCCUCAACUUUCCUUUGCAUUUCCUUCUUUGAUAUUGCGCCUGCAAGCCAUAUCACUCUUUGACUUUCCUGAACUUUUUCAGUCACAUUCUUGUGUUCAUGAGGAUUCAAGAUGCCCCUUAGAAGCUGUCUUCUUUGUCAGCAUUUUACAAAUUUUUCAAUCUUCGUAUGGCUACUUAUCACAUGAUAGGUCAGAAUUGGAGCCAACGACCAUCAAGAUCUUUCCAACAACCGAGCUUUAAUGUCAACACUUCUCCACAAUGACCUUGAUUUCAAUUCACCAUUUCGAUAAACCUACAGGUGAAAAAUCAGUUAUGUCUUUCAUUGUCUGUCGCAUCAUAAGCAAUUCAUACGUCCUUUUGUGAGUCUUGUACAUUACCUCCUUUCAACCUGUCCCGCCUCAAACACUUCUCCAGAAUAUUAACCAUGCUUCCUUUGCGUGACUCUGACAUGCACUAACCUUGUUCAAUUAUUCGAUCAGACAGCAUUGCUUGCAUUAUAAAGAGGAUUUGUUAAUAUUUCUUCUAAAACAAUUUUCUUUAUGGAAGUAGCCUUUCUGAUCUGUUGGACUUUCUGCAAGAGUUGUUACUGCUUUGUUUUCAUAGAUCCCAAGAGAUCCUUUGAUAAAAUAAACAACCUUUAUCUGCUUGACACCAAUUCUCAUAUUGUUGUUCUUGAGAAUCAGAAGAUUCGAUGGAAAAUGCCAUUUGAUAUUAUUGCCAUUGUAGAUUUCUUUACAAAAAUCGCUUCAACAACAAACGGAAAGCUCUUGGAUUACCCAGAUGUUGGAAAUCCACACAACGCUAUGCGAGAAUUCUAAUCCAUCUUACCAUGAGACCAUUUGUUAUCACGCAGCACAUGACAAUGCAAGAGCCAGAAAGCAAUUGAGAAAGAGAAAGAAAAGACGAUGGAAGAAGAAGAAUUAUUUUUCAAUUAGAGUUUCUCUCUGCCAGACUUGUGAAAACUCUUUAUUCACUACUUGCAAACUACAAAAUUCUAUGAAUACAACAUUCAACAGAUAAGGUCUAUACUCCUCGCUACUUUAUAGAUUUAGACUUAACUUAUACUCUUAAGUCAAGCCCGUACAAUUAUAAAAGCCAAAGCUAAUUAGCACUCUAAAAUAGCGCAAGUCGAAAUCUGAUGUGAAACACAUGCUUAGACACUUCGAACACCCACUAGUACAACUUUGACAUCUCUCAGACAUUUUAGGUGUUUAUUCAUGAUGCAAAUGUAUGUCAUGUUAUGCAUAUGAUGCUAAAAUUAAAAAAUGAAAUAAAUUCUACGAAAAUCUAAAUAUGCCCGGACAAAAUUGGGGUACGACAGCAUCACCCAUGCAGAUAGAGGACCGAGAAGUGAAGCAGUUGUGUGGUAAAGAGAUUAGCUUGGUGAAGGUAGCUUGGGGAGGACCAGCUGGUAGAAACAUAACUUGGGAGCUUGAGAGUCAGAUGAGGGAUUUGUAUCUUAGUCUAUUCACUUGAGGUAAUUUUUUAGGGCGAAAAUUCUUUAAGUGGAUGAGAGUUGUAACACCCUAUUUUUCUAGAAAUUAUUUAUAUUAAUUAAUUAUAAUUUUAUGUGUGUAUCUAAUUAUUAUUUGUGUGAUAAUUGAGAUGUGUUAGGGCAACAAGAGUGGGUGACUAUUGGGUAGAGAGUAUGGAGAGUGAUUAGAGGUUGGUAGAUUUAUUUAUAAUUAUUUAAUUAAUUAAAAAAAUAUUUUAGUGUUAUUAUUUAAAUAAAUAAAUAAAAAGGAAAUAAUAAUUUUGGGAUGGAAAGUGCGAAUUGUGAUCAAUUAAAAUAAAUAAUGUAAGUUAAUAAUAAGUUGUGCCUUAAUGGAAUAUUAGAAAGAUAGAAAUUAGGUUUUUAAUUUAAGAGGAGAGAAGUGAAGGAAUUUUUUUACGGUAGGUGAAGUUUUUGGAAUUGAAGGAAAAGAGGCAAGAGAAGAGAAAAGAAAUGAAAACCUCGUGAGAGCUCUAGGGAAGAGAAUAACCAAAAACUUGGAUUUUGUUGGAAAUCCACCACAAUCUAUGGAGAAUUUAUAUCAAUCUUGAUGAACAAGAUUAUUAUCACCCACACAAUGACAAUGAAAAGAACAUAAUAAUUGAGAAAGAAAAGAAAGAGCGAUGGAGAAGAAGAAUAUUUUCUGCAAAGUUUCUUUAUGCCCGCAACCAGUGGAAAACUUCUUUAUUCACUUUGCAACUACAAAAUUUUGUGAAUACAAUGUUAUGAAUACAAUAUUACAAGAACUAGAGUUACUCCCUCUAUUUAUAGAUUUAGGUUAACUUACUCCAUAAGUCAAAGCCCAAAACUAUAAAAGUCUGAGAUAGUUAACACUACUAAAAAUAGGCCUAAGUCGAAAUCCUGUGUGAAGCAACAUGCUUCGAUACUUCGACACACUAGUACAACUCGACACACUAGGUGAUUCGUCACUUCCUUGCUUUUUUCGAGCAACCUGCUUCGACACAAGGAAUUACAAUUCAACACACCACCUAAUUCAUUAUGCCUAAGCUAUCUACAUUCAUCAUAACUCUUAGUCUUCUGAGCACUUUGACCCACACUCCCUUCGUCAUGAUGUUUGCAAUCUGACUCUCAGUUCUGUAGUGUUCCAUAUUCAUCUUCCCAUCUUCUACUUGCUCUCGAAGAUAAUGGAACCUCAUUUUGAUAUGCUUGCUUCGACCAUGUGCUAUCGGAUUCUUAGCUAGAUUGAUAGCUGACAUGUUGUCGAUCUUCAUGGUAAUUUCUCCAUGACUCUUCGCUAUUAUCUCUUUGACCAGAUUCAGCAUCCACGUUGCUUGACAUGCACAAAGAGAAACAUCUAUAUAUUCUACUUAGCACGACAAUAAUGUCACUACUGGCUCCUUUCUCGAACUCCAAGCAAUUGGUGCACCACCUAGCAUAAACACAUAGCCAACUGUGGAUUUUCGAUCCUCAUCAUCACUACACCUACUUGAGUCAGUGUAUCCCAUUAGUUUGCAUUGUUUUCCUUCAUCAGUUGCAUGAAACAAAAUGCCAUAGUUGAGAAUUCCUUUCAGAUACCUUAGUAUCCUCUUCGCCGCUUCUAGAUGUGAUACCUUUGGCUUAUGCAUGAAUCUACUCACCAUACCUACACUAUAUGCUAAGUCAGGCCUUGUGUGAUAAAUGUAUCGAAGUGACCCAAUAAGUCUUCUAUAUUGGAUUGGGUCGACAUCAUAUUCAUCUGAGUCUUUCAACAAUUGUAAUCUGGGCUCAACUAGAGUCAAAGUUGGGUUAUAAUCUUGCAUCUAAAAUCUCUUGAGUAUUUCGCCUGCAUACCUUCUUGAUGCAUCAUCAAACCUCUAUCACUCUUGUAGAAUUCGAUUCCAAGGAAAUAUGAAAUGUCACCCAAAUCUGACAUUUUGAAUUCCUUGUUGAGAUCACCUUUGAAGUCUUCGAUAUCUUUCUUGCAGCUACCUGUUAUCAACAAGUCAUCGAUAUAGAGACAUAGUAUAAGCAAUUCACUCUUGUUUCUUCUUACAUAUACUCCUUGUUCAGUUUUUCACUUUACAAAUUCCUUCUCCCUUAGGAAGCCAUCUAUCUUCUUGUUCCAAGCUCUUGGAGCUUGUUUAAGCCCGUACAGGGCUUUAUGCAGCAUGUACACCUUUCUUUCUUCGCCUUGUUUCACAAACCCAGCUGGUUGUGCACCAUAAACUUCUUCUUCUAAGGGUCCAUUAAGGAAUGCACAUUUCACAUCCAUAUGACACAUCUGCCAGUUGUUCAUGUUUGUUAGACCACAACCAACCUGAUUGUUUCGAUCCUAGCAAGAGGUGCAAAAACUUCGUCGAAGUCGAUUCCUUCUUUUUGAAGAAAUAUUUUCUCCAAAAGUCUCGCCUUGUGUCAAGUCACUUCUCCUUUGGGAUUCAACUUCACCUUGUAUACCCACUUCACAUCGAUUUCCUUCUUGUCUUGGGGCAAUUCAACAAGUGACCAAGUGUUGUUGACUUCAAUUGACUUCGGUUCUUCGUUCAUUUCUUUCACCCACUUCGAAUCUUUCAGUGCCUCAGUUGCAUUGACUGGUUCAACAUCUGCGUGGAAAGCAUAAUGUAACAACUCACCUCUUCAUUGACCAUAUCAUCUAAUGUAAUCACACAUUCUUGCAACCUUGCAGGCACGUGUCUUGUUCUUUGAGGUCUGCUUAGGCCUGUUUCACCUCUGACUUCUUGUCGAACUUCUCUUUCGACUUCACUAGCUGGUUCAUCAUGUAAGAUUCUCACUGAAUCCUUCUUAAUAUUCUCAAUCCAAUCCCAUUCCUUAAGCUCAUAUAUGAUCAUAUCCCUACUGAUCACCACUUGCUUGCUCACUGGAUCGAAUAACUUGUAUUCUCCAGUCGAAUGAUAUCCUAUCAGAAUCAUCUGACUUGACUUGUCAUCAAGUUUUCUUCACAACUGAUCCGGCACGUGUCUAUGUGCUAUAGAUCCAAACACCUUCAGAUGAUUCAAGCUAGGCUUUACACCAGACCAACAUUCUUAUGACGUGAUUCCUUUUAGCUUCUUCGUCGGACAUCUGUUCAGGAUAUAUGUUGCAGUCGACAUAACUUCUCCCCAUAAUUCUUUAGGUAGAUGCUUGCCUCUCAACAUACUUCUAACCAUAUUCAUGAUGGUUCUAUUCUUCCUUUAUGCGACUCCAUUCUGCUGUGGAGUGUAGGGUGACACCACCUCAUGCACAAUCCCUUCUUUCACACAUAAUGCGUCAAAGUAUUUCGACACAUAUUCUCCACCACCAUCAGUCCUCAGAAUCUUGAUCUUUAAAUUGUUUUGUCUUUCGACCAUAGAUUUAAACUUGGCAAAUACCUCGAUCACUUCACGUUUCUUCUUGAUCAAGUAAGUCCAUAGUUUUUGAUUGAAAUCAUCUAUGAAUGUGACAAAGUAUUUAUUACCUCCAAUCGAAUCCACCUGGAUAGGACCAUAUACAUCAGAGUAUAUGACUUCAAGAAUUGCCUUCGACCUAUUUCCUGCAUCCUUAUUGAAGUUGUUCUUAUGUUGCUUCGCCUGCAUACAUUCUUCACACACUUCGUUUGGAAUGUCGAUUUUUAGUAAUCCUGAAACCAUAUUUCUUCUCUUGAAAUUUCUGAUGUCUUUGAAAUUGAUAUGACUAAGUCUAUAAUUCCAUAUCCAUUCAUCUUUGCUGGCUGCUGUUGCAAGGUACUUAUGCUCCAUCACAUUUAGCUCAAUCUUGAAGGUUCUAUUCUAAGACAUUAGGGCCUUCAAGAUCAACCUUCCAUUUGAGUCGAGAACUCUCAUCAUCUUGUCUUUGAUCGACACCUUGUAGUUCUUUUCGACUAACUGCCAUAUACUGAGAAAAUUGCUUUUCAUGCUUGGUAUGUACAACACAUUUGAAAUUACUGACCUCUUGCCAUCUUUCCUCAUAAUCAGAACAUCACCAACAUCUUCAACUGCUAGAGUGUUGUCAUUUGCAAAUUUCACCAUGUUCUUCAUUGAGGCCUUUAUGUUGACAAACCAAUAUUUCCUUCCAGACAUGUGUGAUAAGCAUCCUGAGUCCAAGUACCACUGGUCCUUGAAUCUCGCUUCAUCUCUCGUUGUAACCAUAAGCAACAUCUAUUAUUCUUCAUGUUUCUCCAUCUUUGCAUAAAUUUCUUGAUUCUUCUGCUUUUCUGGAAAAUCACUAGAAUAGUUACCAUGCUUCUAACAAUUGUAAAAUUGAAUGUGACUCUUAUCUGGCUUUUGACCAUCACCUCUUCCUCUACCUGCAACACCACCUCUUUGGUUGCCUUGGUUCUAGGGUCUUCUCUGAUCCUACCAGUUUCCUUCUUGUUGAUUUCGACCAGUCGAAUUGUUGUAGCCUCUUCUACCUUUGUUUCCAUUCCAACUUCCUUUGCAUUUCCUUUCUUUUGAUGAUUGCGCCUGCAAAGCCAUAUCACUCUUUGACUUUCCUGUAACUCUUUUAGUCAUUCUUUGUUCAUGAGAUUCAAGUGCCCCUUGAAGCUCUUCCUUUGUCAGAUUUUACAAAUUUUUCAACUCUUCUAUGGCUACUAUCACAUGGUCGAACUUUGGAGCCAACGACCUCAAGAUCUUUCCAACAACAGAUCUUAAUGUCAACACUUCUCCACAUACCUUGAUUUAAUUCACCAGUUUCGUAACCUUGGUGAAGAAAUCAGUUAUGCUUUCAUUGUCUUCCAUCUGAAGCAAUUCAUACGUCCUUUUGUGAGUUUGUAACCUUACCUCUUUCACCUUGUCCCCGCCUCCAAACUACUUCUCCAGAAUUUACCAUGCUUCUUUCGUUGACUCUACAUCACUAACCUUUUCAAAGUUAUUCGAAUCAACACAUUGCUGGAUUAUAAAGAGAGAUUUGUAAUAUUUCUUCUUCAAUUCUUUAUGUGUAGCCCUUUCUUGAUCUGUUGCAUUUUCUGCAAGCGUUGUUACUCUUUUCUUCAUAAGAUCCCAAAGAUCUUGAUAACAUAACACAACCUUUAUCUGCUUGCACCAAUUCUCAUAAUUGUUGUUCUUGAGAAUCAGAAGAUUCGAUGGAAAAUGCCCAUUUGGAUGAUUCAUUGCCAUUGUGAUUUUCUUCCAACAAAUCGCUUAAACCGAAGCUCUUGAUACCAGAUGUUGGAAAUCCACCACAACCUAUGGAGAAUUUCUAUCAAUCUUGAUGAACCAGAUUGUUAUCACCCACACAAUGACAAUGAAAAGAGCAGAACAAUUGAGAAAGAAAAGAAAGAACGAUGGAGAAGAAGAAUAUUUUCAUUAGAGUUUCUCUCUGCCACAACUUGUGGAAAACUUCUUUAUUCACUUUGCAACUACAAAAUUCUAUGAAUACAACAUUGCAAGAAUAAGGGUUACUCCCUCUAUUUAUAGAUUUAGCUUAACUUACUCCUUAAGUCAAAGCCCUAAAUUAUAAAAGCCCAAAAUAAUUAACACUACUAAAAAUAGGCCUAAGUCGAAAUCCUGUGUGAAACAACAUGCUUAGACACUUCGACACACUAGUACAACUUGACACACUAGGUGAUUCGACACUUCUUUGCUUCUGUCGAACAACUUACUUUGACACAAGGAAUUACAAUUCAACAUAUUUUUCUAUAAUUACAAGGUAAGGGUGGAAAUUUGUUUCAAUAAUAGGGAUAUGAAUAGAAGGACAGAGGAAGGUUUAAUUCUUUUUGGAUUGAUGAUGAAUGUUGAUAUUUGUUGAAUGAAAUUUAUGUUUUAAAAUAUUCAUGUAUGCCCACCAUUUAUAAUGUUUGAAGGUUUUAGGAACUGAUAUAAUAUAUAGAUCCAUGAUUAUAUGAAUAUAAGUAGUGAUUGAUAUAUGUAUGUUUAUGACUGAAUUUAAAAUUAUAAAAUAUUUUUGAUGAUGAUUUCAUUGGCGUUUUUGGGGUUGUAGAAGAUGAAAAUCGUGCUGGAAAUUUUAGAAAAAUAAAAACUUUUUGUUAAUGCCUUAGUGCAUGGUUUUGAUCGUAACUUUCAACUCGUAAAUUAUUUGGGACGAGUUUUAUAGUGUUAGGUAGCUGAAACAGAGGGCUAUAACUUUGUUUUAGGGAUAAAAUAUUUUUGGGGAUGAUUUCAUGGACGUUUUUGGGGUUGGAGAAGAUGAAAAUCGUGCUAGAACUUUUAGAAAACAAUAAUAUUUUGGUAAUUUCUUUGUGCACGGUUUUGAUAAUAACUUUGAACUCGUAAAUCAUUUUGGAAAGGGGUUGGAAAUGUUGGGUAGCUGAAACAGAGAGCUGUAACUUUGUUUCAGGGAUAAAAUAUUUUUAAUGAUUUUAUCAGAGGUUGGUAGUAGGUGAGAAACAAGUGUAUGAUGUGACAAAUAUGUAUAAGGUCCAUAUUGACAAAUUAUUUGAUGUGUUAUGAAUGAUUGAGAUGAUGUAUUUGGUUGUAUUGUGCGAUUGAUUGUAGAUCACUAAAUAUUAUUAUAAUUGUUGUGUUAAUUGCAUUAUUACCGUGUCAUACAUUCAUUGUUGAUAUGUUGAAGGAGAUAAGUCUUAGGUCCGAAGGGGGACGAAAGACUUAUCUAAAACUCAGAAGGGAGAGUUCAAGAUUUUGAAGGGGAAUCAGGUUUGCAAGAAUAACCAAAUGUUGAAUUGAUACCACAUGCAUAUGAGUUGUUGUCAUGAGUCGCAUAACAUGAACGUAUUAUAUGUGUGAAAUAUGACUAUGUGUGAUGAUGGUAUUGUUGUAUGUGACGCUGAUGAUAAUUUGGGCGUGAGAAUGUGAUAUGUUAUUAUGCACAAUGGUGUAGAUGUUGUAUUAUAUUUUACAUUCUAUGUUGUUAUUAUUGAAAUGAAUUUUCUCACCCCUUCUGUUUAAAUGUUACCUUUACAUGGUCAUCAUGCAGAUACUCAAGAGUAAAGACGAUGUUGUGAGUGGAAGUUAGCUCACGGAGCUAUUUAUUUUAGUUUAUUCGUGUUAGCUUUGGUUAUGCUCUGAUAUGUAACACUAGGGAGCAAAUUAUUUAUUUUGUGUUGAAAUUUUCUAAGAGACAAUGCAUGCUCUCGUAUUUGUUUUAUGUUUUGGUGUGAUAGUACUUGGAGAAGACUCAUGAGUCAGUGCUUUUAAUUUUGUUAUGAAAACUAUUAUGAGAUUUUAAAUUGGUAUAUUUUUUUUAUUAUGAUUCUACUGCCAAGAUAUUCAAAUGAGUUGGAUAUCAUGUAAACAUCCUAAGUGCAAAUGUAUGUAGUAAAAUAUUUUGUUGUAACAUGUGAUACGAAGCAGAUUAUGAUUAUUGUGAGUGACACCCUAAGUGAUUGUAUUUCGUUAAUUAAAUUCUUUGAUAAUUACACGCGGACUUUUAGGAUGUUACAAUAUCUCAUUUAUUUAAUUUAAUUUAAUUUAAUAAAAAACUGUCAAUUUUUAACAAUUUAAAAAUAAAAAAAAAGAAAAAAAAAGAAAAUGUAUCACCACGAUUACUUUGAACAAUCGUAGUGAAAUCUGGAUAAAUGUUAGAAUAAAAAAAAAGGAAAAAAAAGAAAGACAUCACUAUGAAAAAAGAUGUAAAAUAUAUCACAUCGGUUUGAAUAUUCAACCGUAGUGAAAUCUUGAUUGUAUUUAAUUUAUAUAAAUGAAUAAUAAAAAAAGGCAAUAAAUUCACAAAUUUUUUUGGCAUUGAGAUUGAACUUUACUAAAUAUCACCAUGGUUACUAUGAUCAACCGUGACAAUGUGUUAACUUAUUUUAAUUAAAAAAUAAUUAAAAAAAAUGAUGCCUGAUUUUAGAAAGUUCAUCACGGUCUUUCAAAGAACCAUAAUAAAAUAAACGUCUUGUAAUUGUUAAAAAAAGAAAACAUAUGAUCAUGGUUGAAAUAUUCAAUUAACUUGUAUUUAAUUUAAAAAUAAAUAAAAAAGAAAUGUAUCAUGGUUAAAUUUAAAUAUAUUCAAAUUAAUUAAACUAAAUGAAAACCAAACUGUUUUAAAAUUGUUAUAAUAUAUCGGAUCAAAUCAUUAUAACACUUCCUUAAAUAUUAAAAUCGACAUGCUAUUUAAUUUGAUAGUUUAAUUGUGAGAAACAAAUCAUUAUGAUAUAAUUUUUAUCUAAAAUUUUCAUUAUUAUAUGUGUAAUCAUUAUUGAUAUUUUUUUUAAGAAACUGCGUGGUUUAAAAAAUUCUUUAAGUCGGAUAGGACCUUAAUAAAUGAUAAAACUUAAAUAAGAGAAAAUAUAAAUUUGUAAAAAUAAAUCAUAACAAUUAUCAAUUGAAAAAUGGAUUUGAUUUAUAAAAUAUUAUAGACAUUAAGUAAUGCUUUUAAUUUUAAUUAUCAAAUGCAAAAAAUGCAAAACAAUGACGUUGUAACAACCCGUAUAAUAUAUAUUUAAAAUAAUAUCAUACAAGUGUUAUUAAUUGGUACUGUCACAACAUAAGUGCCUAAUGACAUAAUUAUAUAUAUAUGUCCAUAAUGUAAAAAAAAACAUAUGGCACAUGCCAUACAAUAGUGCCUAGAUAAAAUUCUAAGAACUAUGUACAUUAUCUUCAUUGUACACAACUCCACACUGGAAGAUCACGAUAAUCAGUGUAACACCCUUCUAAAUACCCCAAAUAUUUAAUUAAAACAACAGCAUAUAAAUCAAUAUCAGAGUAAUCAUGCACCAAGGGUGUCACAUAAUACUUCACAUGAUUCACCGUAAAAAUCAGUCAUGCUCUUACUUUAAUUCAACAUAAACACUUCUUUAAAAUAAUUCGCAGCGGAUGAAACAUCAACCUCUGUAAUAUCUUAAAUUAACAUUUAUUCAACAAAUAAAACAUCCCGUCCCGAUGUUACAUCUAUCAGAGCAUGACCCUCUAACCACACUAGACUUCAAGCACUAGCUUUAUUGCGACUCACUGCUCGUUACUCCUGAAAAAUAUGGCUGUAAGGGUAGUUCCUCAAUCGAUAUAAACAAUAUUAUAAUUUAUCAUGUUAUGUUAAGUAAUUCAUACGUUAAAUCACCCUAAUUAUAUCCUGCAGUCAUUUACGGAAUAAUCAACUAAAAUAUCGUGCUCAAUCACAACGUCAAUACAGCUUCAUAACAACAUACAAUGCAACUCAAAACAACAUAAAAUGCAACUCAAUGAGACUCGACUCUUCAUGCAUGUGGUACCCUUUUGGAGUAAAACCCCCAACUUAAAAUCACUGCCAGUUUAGUGGGCAUCAAGCAUAAGCUUCAACUUUCAACUUAAAAUUUUGCCAAUCCAGGCCAACGUGGUGUGAGCAAAAGCCCCAUAAUUUUGCCAAUCCAGGCCAACGUGGUGUGAGACGAAAGCUCCGACUUAAUGCAUAUGAAUGUUAUGGCAUGUACGACUUGCAACCUUAACAACAUAAGGCAACAGCAACACAACAGCUUUUUCACACACAACAACUUAAAAUCAACGUUGGCUCAUCAGCCUACUACUCAGUAUUUUAACGAAACAACUUAUAUUCAACUUUGGCUCAUCAGCCUACAACAAGGUUUUCAAAAAACAACUUAUCACAUAUUUGCAUCAACAUUCUACAACAUAAAACCCACAAAUAUUAUCCCUACGAUUAACUACAAUGGUUCAAUCACCAAUCACAUUUACAAACAUAAAAAGAUUAACUAUUUUCCACUCUGCAAAGACUCUGCUCAACUGGAGGGAGUCGGCACAAAGGCCCCUUGCGUCGACGCAUGGGGUCGACGCUUCACUCACGGGUCGGCGCCAAAAUGCCUUGCGUCGACGCAUGCAGUCGGCGCAUACCACGGGUCAGCGCACGCCGACCCUAUGGUCGACGCGUCGCAGCGCAGACUCAGUUUUUCUGAGUUAUUCCAAAGUUCUGUUAGCUUCACGCAGAUCAGGUUUUCCGGCCGCUUCCGCAUCUAAACCCUUUCUAAGAAAACCUAAAUUGCCUGUAAUUUAGUAGUGCGAAUCAAGUUUUUAAUUGUGAUCCGUGCUAUAGUCUAACAUUUACGACUCACACAACUAUCAAUUCAAUUUGCAGUUUUUAACACGGUUUAUCCAACGUCAAUUUCAGCAUAUACAGUCCCAAUUAGGGUUAAAUCAACGGCUUCUCACUACCCAUGACAUGUUAAUCUAUAAUACCCAUUAAACGACGAUAACCCCCCUUACCUGAGAUAAUCCGACAAUUCUCUAAGCUUUAGCUUUUCCGUUCCUCAACCGUGCUUUUCGGCUCUUUGCCCUUUUUCCUCUUCUCUGCAGCUUCUCUGAGUUUCACGUAAAUUUCUUUGUUGUUAAGAAUGAAACCCUUUUCUUUAUUCCCACUUAUAUAUAAUAUUUUCCAAAUAUUAUUAUUCCCAAUAAUAUAAUAAUAAUAAUAAUAAUAAUAAUCCAAUAAUCCAAUUUAUUAAUUAAAUUAAUUAAUUAUAUUAUCAACUUAAUUAAAUAAUUCUUUUUUCUUUAUUUGGGGUGUUACAACUCUCUCCCCACUAAAGGAGUUUUCGUCCUCGAAAACAUACCUCAAGCAAAUAACUCUGGAUAGGACUCUUUCAUCUGACUCUCCAGCUCCCAAGUCACAUUGCCCACCUGCUGGUCCUCCCCAAGCUACCUUCCACUAAGGCAAUCUCUUUACCCCGCAACUGCUUCAAACUCUCGAUCUUCAAUCCUCAUAGGCGAUGUUCAACAGUCAGGUUAUCUCUCACCUGUACAUCAUCUACUUGGUCACAUGCGACGGAUCAUGAAUAUACCUCCUCAACUGAGAACACAUGAAAACAUCAUGCAAAUUCGCAAGUGACGGCGGUAAAGCGAUACUGAUAGGCUACUUCUCCCUAUCCUCUCCAAAAUCUGAUAAGGACCAAUAAAUCGCGGUGUCAACUUCUUCGACUUCAAAGCUCGACCAACACCUGUUAUCGGAGUAAACACGAAGAAACACAUGAUCUCCCUCUUGGAACUCAAGUGACUUCCUCUCUUAUCAUGAUAACUCUUCUGACGACUCUGAGCAAUUCUCAUCUUUUCCUGAAUCAUCUUAAUCUUUUCUGUAGUCUGUUGAACAAUCUCCGGUCCAAACCACACACUCUCACCGGACUCAUACCAACAUAAAGGUGUCCGACAUCUCCUACCAUACAAAGCUUCAAACGGUGCCAAUAACCAAUACUCGAAUGAAAACUAUUGUUGUAGGUAAACUCAAUCAAGGCAAAUAACAAUCCCAAGCACCUCCCUUUUCCAAACACAAGCUCUCAAAAAGAUCCCUCUAAUGACUGAAUCGUCCUCUCAGUCUGACCAUCAGUCUGCGGAUGAUAUGCAGAACUCAAUCUCAGCUUAGUCCCUAAAGCCUUCUGCAAACCUUCCCAAAACUUCGAUGUAAAUCUAGGAUCUCUGUCCGAAACAAUACUCGACGGAAUACCAUGCAAACUUACAAUCUUUUCAAUAUACAACUCGGACUAAUCUCUCUAACGGAUAAUCCAUUCUGAUCGGAAUGAAAUGAAGCCGACUUUGUCAAUCUGUCAACAAUCACCCAAAUGGCUUCAAAAAUUCUACUUGUCCUCGGUAAACCAGAAACAAAAUCCAUACUGAUACUAUCCCAUUUCCACUCUGGAAUAGCCAACGUUGCAUUAGCCCAGACGACUUCUGAUGCUCAAUCUUUGACGUUCUGACAAGUCAAACAGGAAAUAAACAAAACUUGCAAUUUCUUUCUUCAUUCCUGGCCACCAAAUAACUUCUUCAAAAUCAUGAUACAUCUUCGUGCUCCAGGAUGAAUACUCAACCCACUACGAUGUCCUUCCUCCAGAAUACUCUUCUUAAGCUCGGUAACAUCCGGAAUACACACCCGACUACAAAUUUCAAAAUACAUUCUCGUCAACUCUGAAUUCGCCCACUUGACCUUGAUUCACUAGAGUCAACUUAUCAACCAGAAGCAUAUCAGAUUUCUGACCCUCUCUGAUCUCGUCCAGAAUACCACUUGUUAACUUCAACAUUCCCAAUUUAACACUAUUGUGAGUACUCUCACACACCAAGCUCAAGUCUCUAAACUGCUCAAUUAAAUCCAAUUCCUUAACCAUUAGCAUAGACAUAUGUAAUGAUUUCCGACUCAACGCAUCAGCCACUACGUUUGCUUUACCCGGAUGGUAAUUCAAACCAAAAUCAUAAUCCUUCAGAAAUUCUAACCAUCUCCUCUGUCUCAUAUUCAGCUCUUUUCUGAUCAAACAAAUACUUCAAACUCUUAUGGUCACUGAAACCUCAAAAUCUUGACCCGUACAAAUAAUGCCUCCACAACUUCAGAACAAACACCACAGCCGCCAACUCUAAAUCGUGCGUCGGAUAGUUCCCCUCAUGAACCCUCAACUGUCUUGAAGCAUAAGCUAUAACCUGCUUAUUCUGCAUCAACACGCCACCCAAACCCAACAAUGAAGCAUCACAGUAAACUUCAAAUGGUUCCGACGAACUCGGUAAAUAUCAGAAUAGGAGCAGUAGUCAGCCUUCUCUUAACUCUUGGAACCUUCUUCACAUUUUGAGUCCCAAAUAAACGCUUGCCCCUUUCUAGUCAACAUUGUCAACGGUAACGCCAACUUGGAAAAUCCCUCAAUGACUUCCUGUAAUAACCAGCCAAACCAAGGAAACUUCGAAUCUCAGAACAGACUUCGGAGCUUCCCCACUUAGACACCGCUUCUAUCUUAGAAGGAUCAACAGCAACACCACCUCUUGAAAUCACAUGACAAGAAAACUAACCUUCUAACCAAAAUUCACACUUGGACAAUUUAGCAAAUAACUUCUUUUCUCGUAGAACUUCUAACCACUCUCAAAUGUUCAGCAUGCUCUUCUUCGGAUUUCGAAUACACCAAAAUAUCAUCAAUAAACACCACAACAAACUUGUCUAGGUACGGAUGGAAAUAUCCUAUUCAUAUACUCCAUAAAUACCCCAGGCGCAUUAGUCACACCAAAAGGCAUUACAGAAAUACUCAUAAUGUCCAUACCUGGUUCUGAAGCAGUCUUCUGAAUAUCCUCGGUUUUCACACGUAUCUGAUGAUACCCAGAUCUCAAAUCUAUCUUUGCUGAACACACUUGCACCAACCAACUGAUCCAUCAAAUCAUCAAUCCUCGGCAACGGAUACCGAUUCUUGAUCGUCACUUUAUUCAGUUGUCUGUAGUCCACACACAACCUCAUAGUACCUUCUUUCUUCUUAACCAACAACACUGGUGCACCCCACGGUGACACACUCGGACGAAUAAAUUUCUUAUCCAACAGAUCUUCCAACUGACUCUUCAGUUCAGUUAACUCAACGGCAGACAUACGGUACGGAGCCAUCGAUAUCGGCCUAGUACCAGGUACCAAGUCAAUAGAGAACUCCACUUCACGCUCUGGCGGCAAUUCAUUCACCUCUUCAGGAAACACAUCAGAAAAUCACACACCACGGCUAGAUCGCCAAUCACCAGUUUAUCUUUAGCCUCCAAAGUCGCUAACAGCAUGAACAACUUUGCUCCCUCAGCUACUGCUCCAUCCACUUGCCUUGCUGAUAGGAACAAACUCUUUUCCUCUACCAAUCUCAGGAAAGAUCGCCGUUUAUCAAAACAAUUGAUAGAAACUCGGUUGAACACCAACCAGUUCAUACCAGAAUAACAUCAAUCUGCACUAGUGGAAGACACACUAGGUCCAUCCAAAGUCUCUACCAAAAAUACUCAAAGGACAAUUUAAGCAAACCGACGUAGUAGUCACUGACCCUUCGCAGGAGUAUCAAUUACCAUACUACCAAACAUCUCAGAUAUCUCUAACUUAAGUUUCACAGCACAAUCCAAGAUAUAAAGGAAUGAGUCGCACCUGUGUCAAUAAUAGCUACAAGAGGAAAGCCAUUAAUAUAAAACGUACUCGGAUCAAACGAUCAUCAGCAGAAGUCUCAGAACCCGAUAAAGCAAAGACCUUGCCUCCUGACUGAUUCCCUUUCUCGGCUUCUGACACUGGCUUCCAAUUGCCCUUCUUCACCAACAUUAAAACAAAUCACUUCUUUGUGCUUGCAAUCAGCUAUUGCAUGCCCAGUCUUACCACAGCGAAAACACCUCUUUACUUCAGCAGUGCAUACAUUACUCUUAUGACCAGCCUGACCACAUUUGAAGCAACUAUACAGUAGGAGCACCUCCCCCACUAGCUCUCUGAGUCGGAGCAGCUCUUUGUUUCCCUUUCCCAGCUGGAACAUCAUACGGCUUGCCACGACUUUGAUGCUGCUUUCCCCUGCGGUCACUGACAAUCUUAUAAUGAGCAUUAUUGUCCUCUUCAAAUAUCCUGCAGCUAUCAACCAAUUCAGUAAAAAAUGCGUAUCUUCUGAUACCCAACAGCCUUCUUAAUUUCAGAGCGCAGUCCGUUUCAAACUUGAUGCACUUUGAAAUUCAGCACCCGCACAGUGUAAUGAGGAUAAAAUUUGGACAACUCCACAAAUUUCGCAGCAUAAUCAGUGACAGACAUGUUUCCUUGCUUCAGCUAAGGAAUUCAAUUUCCUUCUUACCACGGACAUCUUCGGAUAAUACUUCCUCAGGAAUUCCCUACGGAAUACAUCCCAAGUAACGUCUUCACCUGCCACAGUCAACCUCGUGAGUCUCUAGCCACCAGUCAUCAGCUUCGACUGCUAGCAUGUGAGUACCAUACCGAACCUUCUGAGCUGGAGUGCAAUCCAUAACACGAAAGAUUCUCUCAAUCUCUUUCAACCAUCCUAAAGCUGCAUCUGGAUCAUGCUUCCCUUUAAACACCGGCGGAUUCUCUCUCUGAAAAGUCGCCAAGCUACGUGAUCCAGCAUCUCCACCAGCAUUUGGCAAGUUCUGCACAGCUUGUGCCAUUGCUUGCAUUGCGGCAGCCAUUGCAGCGUCAUUCCUUCCAGCCAUUUCAACUUAUCAAUAACACAACUUAAAGUUAGAUGGUAACAAUACACAAUUGUUAGACAAAACGACACGACAACUGGCCGGACGGACCGACCUGCUCUGAUACCACUAAUGUAACACCCUUCUAAAUACCCCAAAUAUUUAAUUAAAACAACAGCAUAUAAAUCAAUAUCAGAGUAAUCAUGCACCAAGGGUGUCACAUAAUACUUCACAUGAUUCACCGUAAAAAUCAGUCAUGCUCAUUUAUUAAUUCAACUAAACACUUCUUUAAAAAUUCGCAGCGGAUGGAAACAUUCAACCUCUGUAAUAUCUUAAAAUUAACAUUUAUUCAACAAAUAAAACAUCCCGUCCCGAUGUUACAUCUAUCAGAGCAUGACCCUCUAACCACACUAGACUUCAAGCACUAGCUUCUAUUCGACUCACUGCUCGUUACCUGAAAAAUAUAGCUGUAAGGGUGAGUCCUCAAUCGAUAUAACAAAUAUUAAAAUUUAUCAUGUUAUGUUAAGUAAUUCUAUACGUUAAAUCACCCUAAUUAUAUCCUGCAGUCAUUUACGGCAUAUCAACUAAAAUAUCGUGCUCAAUCACAACGUCAAUACAGCUUCAUAACAACAUACAAUGCAACUCAAUAACAACAUAAAAUGCAACUCAAUGAGACUCGACUCUUCAUGCAUGUGGUACCCUUUUGGAGUAAAACCCCCAACUUAAAAUCACUGCAGUUUAGUGGGCAUCAAGGCAUAAGCCUUCAACUUUCAACUUAAAAUUUUGCCAAUCCAGGCCAACGUGGUGUGAGCAAAAGCCCCAUAAUUUUGCCAAUCCAGGCCAACGUGGUGUGAGACGAAGCCUCGACUUAAUGCAUAUGAAUGUAUAUGCCAUGUACGACUUGCAACCUUAACAACAUAAUAGCACAAGCAACACAACAGCUUUUUUCAACAACAACAACUUAAAAUCAACGUUGGCUCAUCAGCCUACUACUCAGUAUUUUCAACGAAACAACUAUAUUCAACUUUGGCUCAUCAGCCUACAACUCAGAGUUUUCAAUAAAACAACUUAUCACAUAUUUGCAUCAACAUUUCACAACAUAAAACCCAACAAAAUUAUUCCUCACGAUUAACUACAAUGGUUCAAUCACAAUCACAUUUACAACAUAAAAGAUUAACUAUUUUCCACUCUGCAAAGACUCUGCUCAACUGGAGGGAGUCGGCGCAAAGGCCCUUGCGUCGACGCAUGGGGUCGACGCUUCCCUCACGGGUCGGCGCCAAAUGCCUUGCGUCGACGCAUGCAGUCGGCGCAUACCCCACGGGUCAGCGCACGCCGACCCUAUGGUCGACCGCUCGGGCGCAGACUCAGUUUUUCUGAGUUAUUCAAAGUUCUGUUAGCUUCACGCAGAUCAGGUUUUCCGGCCGCUUCCGCAUCUAAACCCUUUCUAAAGAAACCUAAAUUGCCUGUAAUUUAGUAGUGCCGAAUCAAGUUUUAAUUGUGAUCCGUGCUAUAGUCUAACAUUUACGACUCACACAACUAUCAAUUCAAUUUGCAGUUUUUAACACGGUUUAUCCAACGUCAAUUUCAGCAUAUACAGUCCCAAUUAGGGUUAAAUCAACGGCUUCUCACUACCCAUGACAUGUUAAUCUAUAAUACCCAUUAAACGACGAUAAACCCCCUUACCUGAGAUAAUCCGGCAAUUCUCUAAGCUUUAGCUUUUCCGUUCCUCAACCGUGCUUUUCGGCUCUUUGCCCUUUUUCCUCUUCUCUGCAGCUUCUCUGAGUUUCACGUGAAAUUUCUUUGUUAAGAAUGAAACCCUUUUCUUUAUUCCCACUUAUAUAUAUAUUUUCAAAUAUUAUUAAAUUCCAAAUAAUAAUAAUAAUAAUAAUAAUAAUAAUAAUCCAAUAAUCCAAUUUAUUUAAUUAAAUUAAUAAUUAUAUUAUCAACUUAAUUAAAUAAUUCUUUUUUCUUUAUUUGGGGUGUUACAAUCAGCAUCCCUUGAAACAUUAUUAGACAACUUCUCUUGAAUUCAACCUGCAAGAAAAUUCCUGAAAAAUAACAACAAUAAUGGGAUGAGAUGAUAAUCUCAGUGAGUUCUCCUAUCAUAUGUGUCCACUCGGCUCUACAAGAUUCCUACUCGAUUCUAACUCAAGUAUUCACCUUCUGUUACUUGUGCAUCACUCGCAGCUUAUAACUAGGACUUGAGUAACUAAGGGAUAAUUACAAUGUAUGGAAACAUGUCACUUGAGUUCACAUAACUCAAUAAAUCACUAUUCGGAUUCACGAAACAUCAAUCCUCGAACGGACUUACGUCUAAGCCAGGCUCAAUUCAUGCAUGCUCGUAUGAUUCGACUUUCACGUGGAUAUCGGGUCCUCUAUGAGGCUUACUCCCCAGUUCAAGCGACCGUCACCCGUAUGGGACUCUAACCCACUUAGGUUAUCUUUCAUCGUAUGGGACUCUAACCCACUUAGGUGUUCACCUUUCCCCCAUGUCCGUCAUGGUUGGGGAUCAAACCCAAUUGAGGCAUGAAUCAUUGGUGUCACAUCCCCAUUUACUGCUUUACCUAAGCCUUCGAAGUGGUAUGUGCACAAUCACAACUAAUUCUGAAUACGUGAUUAAUUCUCAAUAACCAAUAGGACUUUCGGAGCAACACUCCUCACCAAAAUAGGACUUUUGGAAUAAAAGUUCCUCACCAAAAUAUCAAACCAAUUCUCAUGGUGUUCAUCAAAUACUAGGUGAUCACAUCCACCCAUUCACAAAGUAUUCAACAUGUUCCAUACAAUGCAUAUUGAUUCAUAAUCAAGCGAAUACUUGUUUGCAAUACACACCUAGGUAUCAUUGUGUUGAAGCAUCACCGUAUACCAUUUCCAUAACCUAAAUUAUCUUUCUAAGUCAUUCUCCUAGUUAUGCUCAUAGAUUUCCUCACUCAUCUUUAUAGAGUUUUAAUCAUACUAUUUUACAUCUAACAACAUCCAACCAAUUUAUAGCAUACACAUUAGCAUAUCAAAAUAUCAUACAAGAAAGACACAUAGUAGUAUAACAUGUCACAAUACACCCUAGGCAUAUCCGACUCACAACAUGCUCAUCAUUAUCUUAGGUUAUUCAAGUUGUUACAUACAAACAAGUCAAACAUAACCCAAGCAUAAAAUUAUCACUAUCCUUUACCAAGAAUUCUUGGUUAGCUCAUGGUCUCUCAUCACCAUGCAAUAUCUCAUUGUAUGAGCUUUUCAAAACUUUAAGUCUCAUAUCAAUCGGAUUCACGGUUCUUGAAUUAUGGCGAAAACAAGAACCAUAUAUUCAAUCAAGAAAACAACAACUCAUAAUAAAUAUAUAUAUAUAUAUAUAUAUAUAUAAUAAUUUAUAUAUAUAAUGAUGUUUUUGAAUCAUUAUAUGAUAGAGCAUUGAAAGAGCUUUCCAACGCCUCCAACUGCGUCCAAAACGGAUUUACGAAACUCAUUUUAUAGUGAAAACAUUGAACCAAUCGAUUGUUGACAAGGACCAAUCGAUUGUAUGAAGUUUCUGUCCAAAUUUUCACUACUUACAAUGGACCAAUCGAUUGAUCCCUGUAGCCAAUCGAUUGGCAUCAUAAAAAAUUCAACUUUUCUUCACCAUAACAUGAACCAAUCGAUUGGUUCUGCACGAUUGGCCUCUGUUAUUUCAUCAAAAAUUCAUUUUCUAACCACAACAAACUCCAUACUUAACCAUUCUAAACCAUACCAACACUUACACUAACACAAGUACACAUGAUUAACACUCAUAACUUCAAAGAUUAAGGUCAUACUUCAACAAUCAACACCAACACAAUAUAAUAUCAUGGUUUCAAUACAACAACACAACAUAACUCACACAAAAGUAUGUAGGAAUCAUGAUAUGAGACAUAGAAGCAUGAACAACAACAAAUUCACAAAACCUAAUCCCACUUCCAUGAAAAAGAUGAUUGGUGGUGAUGAUCAUAAUCUUCAUCAGCUUUUUCCUUCUUCUUCCUUCCUUCCUCUUCUUCUCUUCUUCCUCUUUCUCUUUUCCUCUCUCUUUCUCUCUUUGAUAACUCUCUCUUGCAUUCUUAUCUCUUCUUACUUCUUCUUAUCUACCACACAUAUAUACUAUAUAAUAUAUAUAAAUAAUAUAUAAUAUUAGAUAGUGAUAAAUAAUAUCUUAAUUGAUAUUUUGUCUUCAAGUAUCAAUUGACAAAUUAUUAAUAUUACCAAAAUAUCCUCUUUUGUACUUAUUAAUAUUAAUAUGUCUCUUUUAUUAAUAAUUAAUCUCUUCAGAAUUCACUGGUUACUCAAUUGGUCCUAACUGACAACAUUUAGAGCACAUAGGAGCUCAAAUUGUCUUACUAAUAACAAAUAGAGUAGAUAGGAACUCAAUUGGUCUCAAUUGACAACUAAUUGACAAUUUAAGGGGAUAUGAGAUAUUACAUAUGUAAUUGGAGGUUAAUACUUUUACAAUCUUCUUAAUUUUUUCACAAAUAUUUCACACACUACCUUUAGGUGGUUUGAUUUUCGUUUUAAGCGAUACGAUUAUCAAAACCUGUUUCAAUAUCUACAUGAACAUGCGUAAAAUUAUUUUAUCUUUAAAAAAAUAGUUUUUUUUUAUAUUUUUUAAAAUGGAUUCUAUAAAAUAUUUUUUAAAAUAGUAUAAGUUUUUAUAAAUUAAAAAAUUAAUUUUGACAUUCUAUAAACAUAUAAAACAUAGUUAAAAUUACAUUUUUUUUUAAAUUGUAUCUCAAAAAUAAAUUUUAUAAAGAAUUAUUUCAAAUUACUUUAAAAUUUUGAUAUUAAAUUUUUUUUUUAUAAAUGAUGAAAUACCUAAAAUAAUAUUUUAAAAAUAAUUAUUAAAACUAAAUUUUUAUUCAAAAUUUUUAUAAUUUUUUUUUUUAUAAAUAAUGUUUACACCAAAAUAUAUAAUACCAUAAAAAUGAUUUAAAAAACAAAACAAAAGCAAAUCGGUGAUAUAUCUUGUGACUAAUAAACAAAGUGAAAUAGUAUUCCCAUCUAAUUUUAAGUUAAAAAUAAUAGGUAAAUCAUCUAGUUGUAUUUAUAUUUUUUUCUUAAAAUAAUUGAAUGUUAAAAUGUUUUUUAUUCAUUUUUAAAGUUAAAAUUUAUAAGAAAAACGAUUUUUUUCUAUUUAAAAAAAAAAAUUCAUUAUUUUAUAUCGACGAUUUAACUACUUAAAACCUAGGCAAAUUUACCGAGAUAACCCAGUUUUUCGAAGAAAUUCCCAAAAUAACCCACUUUUCAAAAAAUUUCCCAAUCUACCCCACUUUUAGGAGGAGGCGCCAAUUGGAUGGGCACCCCGUUCUUAAAAUUGCAAGGAGGCGUCAAUUGGAUUGGCUAGGGCACCUGCCCUAGCCAAUCCAAUUGGCGCCUGUGUGUAAUUUUUAAGAGGGGGCGCCAAUCCAAUUGGCGCCUCCCUAAAAAAGCCUCAAAUGAAACACCUCCAACAUGAAAGUUGUAGAUCUUUUCAAGACAAUGAAUUGGAUAUAAAUUUGCAUUAUUUGGAUUUUUAUGAGAAAGUUAUGGGCAGUUGAAGUUGGACUGCUGAGUUUUUGAACUGUUAUCUGACCUAUAAUGUCUUGCAUUAUUUCAUGUGUUUCUUUUAGGAAUAUGAAUUUUUGUCCAACAUAACAUUUGAAGUAGACAUCUUAAAUUUCCAAUGCACGUGUCCCACCUCAAAAUAAUUAAAAAUGAGUGAGUUAGGUCUUUGCGAACUUGACUAAAAUAGGUUUAUGUCAAAACAAGUGGAUGUGAAUUUUGCCAAAAAGGGACCAACUCAAGCCCUUUAGUUUGAAUGAUAAAGCCUCAAAUGACAAAACCUUCAACAUAAAAGUUGUAGAUCUUUUCAAGAUAUGAAUUUGGACUAAAGUUUUGCAUCAUUGCAAUUUUUAUGAGAAAGCUAUGGGCACCUGAACUUGGACUCUUUGACAUUUUAUCUGUUAUCUGACCUAUAAUGUUUUGUAUUAUUGCAUGUGUUUGUGUUAGAGUUAUGAAUUUUUGUCCAACAUAACAAAGUGAAGUAGACAUCUUAAAUUUUCCAAUUCACUGGUCCCACCUCAAAAUAAUUAAAAUGAGUGAGGUAGGUCGUUGCGAACUUGACCCAAAAUUAGGGUUUCUGUCAAAACAUGUGUAUGUGAAUUUUGCCAAAAGGGACCAAAUUCAAGCCCUUCAACAUAACAAUAACAAGUCCUGAAUUAGGGUUUCUGACCUAUAAAUUUUUGUAUUAUGAUAUGUGUUUAUUUUAGAGAUUAUGAAAGAAACCUAAGUUUGGAGUUUACACAAAGAUAAAAUUUGACAUAAUACAAAUUGAUAUUAAUAAAAUUUGGAUUUUACACAAAGAAUCCUAAUGGUGAUGACCGGGAUCACCUAACCGACCUCCGGUCCCACAUCCCUAGCUACCCUAACCCUUGGCCCUAACCCACGUUGACGAUUCUGCACCGUGUUUGUUCAUCUGAUGGUCCAGGAGCGUCAUACCUCCUACAGGAAAGAUCGUUGAGGUAUCAGCCAACUCAGCAUAGUCUUCAGUAUUCAAUGAUGGUGUACCGGCGUAGCUGAGCUCAUGACCCAUGCCAGAGAAGUUGGGGUGUGGUUGACUCAUGGAUGGGCGACCGGGACAGUUGAAGGGAGACAUGGGUGACAAUGAUGGGUCUAGGAAAGGUUGGAAAGGUUGUUGGGGUUUGGAAGAGAUAUGGUGUGGGAUGUUAUGGUAUUGUGUGUUUGGGUUCUUGGCUACGGUAGGUGAUGGGGCGGUUAGUGUUUUGGGUAAGGCGACUUGGUAGGGUGAUGGUGUGGGUGCGAAGCGAUGUUCGUCGAAGGUUGAUGGUCCAUUGUUGGUGGUGGUAUGGGGGAUGUUCUUGUUUUGGGGUUGGUGAAUGGCAUGUUUUGGUUGUAUGUUUGUGUGUUUGUGGAACGGAAAGUUUGUCGGAUAGGUGGGUGGGGUAACCGGGGCUGAGAAGUUGUGGGGUUAGAUGUUGAUCCUUCUUGUGUGUAACUGUCUGGCGUGGGUCGUAGAGGUACAUAUCAUCGGCGAUGAAUUGAAAUCCAACUGAUCUAUACCAAGCCAUAUAAGUACGACUUGUGUUACCUCAUUUGGCAUGACUGCGUCAGUUAAGACAUGGUCAUGACGGUGCUUCCACUUGCGACACUCUGAUCUUUCGAAGGUUUGCCAAGGGUGUAGUUCCAUUGGUCGUCACUUUACGCAUAUGCCAUUCUCUCUAGGCUAGCUGGGGGAUCUGGGAUAUUCUGGACCAUACCAAACUGCAGCUUCACACGAUCGGUGUUGUGCAGCUCCACGUUGUGAACCGUAUAAUCGGUGUGCAUGUUGUCCAUACGGCUGCGUCUUCAGGGUUGAUCUGAUGCUCAUGAUCCAUAUUAAGGUAUGGACGCCAGAUGAACUGAAAUGUUAAAGACGAUAGGAUUUAAUGAAUGUAGAAAAAGUCAACAUAAUAUGAAGAAAUAAUGAAAUUAUUUUGCUUACGUCUGCCGGUCGAGAGUGAUCCAACAGGUUGCGAUAUUGAGUAAAUACAGUGUCUCCGACAUCUGUUGUAAUUCAUACCGCGUGCCGACCAUCUACACCAAAAAGUCAAAAUAAAUUAGUUAUGGGUAAUAAACUGUAAGGAAGGAAGUAAAGAUAUAGCAAUUUAAACAACUUACUUUUUGCAUAUGGAAAGUGAAGGGGUGUUAUUUGACCGGUGCUAGAGACGGUAGUCUUGACCAUCCCCAUGCUUGUAGCAAAACAGCACAUCCAGAAAAUGUAGAAGUAUCUUUGUGGGAGUUUUUGCACAACGAACUAUAGAGAUAGGCUAGAACUGCGGAUCCCCAACUAUAACUACCUAUUCUAUCUAUAUGUCUAAGUAAGGUAGUAAUAAUAUGCAUGCUAGAACCACUACCUUCGGGAAAUAAAAAGGAUCCUAGUAACAACAUUAUGUAACACCUAGUUUGAUGAUUCGAAGCAUCUCGGUAGAAUGCUCAUCUAAAUAAAACUAUUAUAAUAUGACUUUAGGCCGUGAAAGUAGUAUACCUUGUCCCCUAGCAUUUACUAACAAAUCAGUGUUUAAAAGCUCCAUGCAAAUUGAAUUUGCAUAGUUGGUCUUACCAUUAACAGCUUGCUUCAUAUUCGUAGUCCUAAAAGCAUGUAGACGUCUCUAACGUCACGGUACACUCACGGUUGGAAACCAAAAUGUGUGUGUCUCUGGCCUCCAUCUUUCGCAUAAGGCUAGAAUGAACUUGUUAUCUUAGACCAGACAUAAUUUUGCUAAGGUGACCAAAACCGGCGAGUUCAACAUAAGGUUGAAUCAUCGGGUCCAUUGGGACAAAUUCGUGGACUCGAGUUCGAAACCUUGAGACAUCUAUAAUAAAAAUAUGUAACACUUGACUAAGUCGGUAUUUCAAUAAAAUGGGGUGUGGAGAUGAAACAAAAAAAGAAGUAUAAGAAAAACUUACGUAUGUCGCGAUGUGUUGCAACUGUUCCUCUGUGUGCUUCGCCCAUUGUGAGUAAAGACAUAUUGUUGGGGAGUUGGUGUAGAUGAAAAUGGAAGAUUUGUUGAAGAUGAAAUUGUAAAAGAAGUAAUGUAGAUUGUAGAUGAAGGAGUGAGAAUGUUGGUGUGGAAGAAUUGUUGAAGGAUGGAUCAAUUUAUAGGCAAAUGGAGGAGUGCAUGAAAAUUGUGUUUGCAUGGUGUCUCCACCUCAUUUGGCGACCAUGUACAAUAUUCAAGAGGGGCGCAUUCAAAUUGGCGACACCAUAGGGUACAUGCAUGCAAGGCUAGUUCUGAAUGCUUGGUUUCGAGGACUGACUCCAUGGGGGCGCCCUUCAAAUGGGACCAUGUACAAGCCCUAAAGGUAGGCGCCAAACCAAUUGGCGCCACCUUCUGCAUGUCUGACACUUGGCAGUGUGUUCCUGCAUGCUGAACAAUCACUUAUGGAUGGCUUGCAUGAUUGCCACAUCAUCUCUGACCAUCUUAGUGUCCGACACGUGUCUGUCUUGUCUCCUGCAUGCUGAUGACUACCUUCUUGAUAGCUUGCCUGCUUGACACAUCAACUCACACUGUCUUGCAGGAUUGACACAUCAUCUCAGACACGUGCCUCUAGUAUCCUGCAUGCUGAUACUCACUUCUGUUCUUGACUAGCUAGCAUGCUUGACACAUCAUCUCUGACCAUCUUAGGUGUCCGACACGUGUCUGUCUUGUCUCCUGCAUGCUGAUGACUACCUUCUUGAUAGCUUGCCUGCUUGACACAUCAACUCACACUGUCUUGCAGGAUAUGCAAGUAAUCUCAGACAAGUGGCUCUCUAGUAUCCUGCAUGCUGAUAGUCACUUUUGUAUUGACUGCUAGCAUGCUUACAGAACAUCAAACUCAUGAUCACCUAGCAUGCUUGACACUCAACUCACACUGUAUUGCAGACAAGCACCUCAUCUCUGAAAUUAAUGGCAUGUUGACACAGUAUCUCAGAUAGCUUCAAUGUGAGACACUGUACCAUGUAUUUAAGUGUCUUACUAUCACAUUCAUCUGCACUGCAAACAUACUUUUCAUCUCCAAAAUACUUUUCAUCUUCACUCACAUUCAUCUGCAUUGAAAAUACUUUCAUCUUCACUCACAUUCAUCUGCACUUGCAAAAUACUUUUUAUCUCCAAAAUGUCAUCUUCAUCAUUAUACAGUAUCAACGUUCACUCAAUACCAUUAGAGUGACAAUGAAAGAGAAUGCAACCUUUUGCAUUCAAAAAAGAAUACAAUCUUUAUAGCAUCAGGUAUUGUGUCAAAGAUGACAUAUCAGAAUCCUAUAUUUUUUGAGAAUGGUCAAUGCAAGUUUUCCCCCUAAAAAUACGAGACGAUGAAGAUGUUGAAGCAUGUUCUUAGUCAUGAAAAUUCAGGCAUAGAUAUAUCGAGUUGUACAUUACUAUACAACCAUGUAUACCGUCUCAACAGUCUCAACACGAUCAGGAUCCAGCUGGUGAAGAUGCUGCAGAUGAUGCACAAUGUCAGAUGAAACUCAACCCAGAACGAAGUAGAGGUCGACGUUGUGAUGAGAAGAAGAGGAGUGAGUACAGGUUGAUCACAUCCUGAACAACGACGAUGAAGAUGGGCUCAACCACCACAAUACCUCCUACUCAUGCCUACAAUCCUCCUCAACAUAUGACAAUAUGAUCUUCACGACGAUGAAACGUCGACAGUGUCUUCUAUAUCCGUAUCCGAGACAGUAGCGAAUUAAAGUGGGAGACAUGUUCGUACAAAGAGGAAUGUGUCUUGGCAAUAAAAAAAAACAUAGAACAACUUUGCUGACUUUACAGUGAAACGCACUGACUCUAGAAGUAUGUUAUCGAAGUCGUAACAUGCCUUGUAAGUUUUGUUUGGCGCAUCUUACAAGAGAAAAAUGACUCUUGGGAGAUCGCCUCAAUAGACCCACACACAGUUGCGUUGCAACUAACGUUGAACAAGAUCACCGUAAACUGAGCACAACUUUGAUAUGUCAAGACAUUCUGCCAUUGGUAAAUAAAGACCCAUCAGUGAAGGUGAGUAUAAUUAUUCCAUAUCGAGCAACAUAUAAUUAUACUCCAUCUUACAAGAAAGCAUGGAUUGCGAGGACAAGGCUGUUGAGCAGUUUUCGGUAACUGGGAGGACUCAUUCAAGGAAUUACCACGGUUUUUAGGGCACUAAAAACUUAUGUCCAAGAACUGUGGCAAUUCUGGAGACAAUGCGCAGCAAUGAUGCCAGACGGAACCUGUGCUACGUAAUUAGAAUAUUCACCGUCUUUUUUGGGCAUUUGACCCGUGCAUCAAAGGUUUCGCUUUCUGCAAACUUCCUGCAAAUUGAUGGCACUUGGUUAUACGGAAAUACAAGGGUACUUUGCUCAUGGCAGUUGCACACGAUGGUAAAACAAUGUAUUUCCCAUUGCCUUUGCUCUUGUUGAAGGUGAAACGGCUGGUGGAUGGGGUUUCUUUCUUCGCAUCUCAGAACGCAUGUCGCUCACAAGCAAUUAUGUUUAAUUUUCUGAUAGACAUGCUGCCAUCGAAAGUGCCUACAACAACCAUGACAACGGUGCAUGAUCUCCUUUCUACAUGUCUACUGUAUCAGACACAUUGCACAAAACUUCAUGCGUGCGAAAAAGAUAGAAUUUCGCAAGAAGGUGGUGAAUGCUGGUAUGCUUUAACUCAACCGUCUUUCAAUUUAUCGUGAUAAAUCGCGUCUGUCUAAUGAAGACGCGGGAGAUGGAUAAAAUAAAUCCCAGUAGAGCAGUAGACAAGAGCAUUUGACGUGGUGUCGAUGGGGCACAUGACAACAAACUUGUGGAUGAUGAACGAGGUUUUCAAAGAAUUCGAAACUGCCGAUAACCGCCUUGGUAAGAUCAACCUAUUAUAGGUUGGCUUCUAUGUUCGCAACAGAGGUGAAAGAUGGAGUGCGUGUUAAUGUCUGGACAAGUAUUCAGUGAGUGUUGCAUGAAGAUCAUGAAAGAGGAGAGCAUCAAAGCUACGACACACGCUGUAACAGUGUUUGACCGUCAAAGACAAAUUUCAGCGUCCAGGAACAAUGGGCAACAGCGAGGGGAGACCAAAUUUUAGCCUACGCGGUUAAACUACACAGGAGUUGGUGUGAUUGUGGAAAAUUUCAGGCCUUCCGCUACUUGCUCCCAUGUCAUUGCAGCAUGCGCUUAAUCUGUCAAGACGCUACACCAUUUAUCUGAGUGUACAAGGCAACACCAUCAUGAAUGAUAUAGUAAAGCUUUUCAGUACUACAAUGGAGGAUUAGUGCCUCCAUAUGAAGAGAUAUGUUUGGCACAAUGAAGAGAUGCGUAGAAAGAAGAAGGAGGCCAAACAGCACACGUAUCAGAACAGAGAUGGAUUCCACAGAUAAAUGAUAAGAUUAUGUAGUAUCUGUCGUCAACCAGGACACAACAAACAGUCCCAAAUCAAGGAGCUCAUCUAGAUCUUAAGAUUUUGUAACAUUUUAUUUAGAUUAAGCUUUUUUUUAACAUUUUUUCUGACUUAGCUUUUCCUAACAUUUAUUCUGUAACAAUCAAUCAUAUAUAUCAUUAAGUUCUUGUUACAACGAGUUUCAUAACCACAUCAGUACAAAACAUCUGAAACAUAAAUAAUUCUAAUGAACAACAAUCAAAUUAAUGUCGUCUCGACCGAACAUCAUUCCCUAGCAUCCUUAUCAGUCUUCAUUGCACCCACAAGUACUGUCAAGUCUCUCAAUACUUCUGAUUUUCCCUUCUGGUAUUUUCCCAUCUAACCAUCGAACAGCUCCCUCUUCAGUUGAUCUAACGUGGUGAUGUUCCAAAACAAAUCACCAAUUGAGGUUGUUCUCGCAUAAAUCACCUUACGUAUCGACGACGAACACCAAACAGAGAGCCAAAUGAUUAUAUGAGUUGUGGCAAUAGGGUCACACAACGCAUCUAUUUAUAAGACAAAAAAGGCAUUUUAUGAGGGACUCGCAAUUGAGUUGGCGACUCUCUUAAAACUUACACUAGCGCCAAUUGGAUUGGCUAGGCCUGCCCAAGCCAAUCCAAUGGCGCCUCCAUUCAAGUUUUAAGAAGAGUCGCCAUAUGAACAACUUUCAGUUCAUCAAAAUCAUUGAAACUUGGAAGCUCAUCAUUCAUUUCAAAUUAUAGGGUCAUUUGACAGAACCCUAAUUUGGGUCAAGUUCGCAGGACCUAACUCACUAUUUUAAUUAUUUUGAGGUAGGACCAAGUGCAUUGCAAAAUUUAAGAUGUCUACUUCGAUCUUAUGUUGGACAAAAAUUUCAUACUCUAAAGAACACAUGAAAUAAUGCAAGACAUUAUAGGUCAUUUGACAGAAACCCUAAUUUGGUCAAGUUCGCAGGGACCUACUCACUCAUUUUUAUUAUUUUGAGGUGGCCAAGUGCAUUGCAAAUUAAGAUGUCUACUUCAUUUUUAUGUUGGACAAUUUCAUAACUCUAAAAGAACAAUGAAAUAAUGCAAGAAUUAUAGUCAGAUAACAGUUCAAACUCAGCAGUCCAACUUCAACUGCCCAUAACUUUUCAUAAAAAUUCAAAUGAUGCAAAUUAUAUCCAGUUCAUUGUCUUGAAAAAUCUAAACUUUCUGUUGGAGGUUUUCAUUGAGACUUUUUUAAGGAGGCCGCCAUUGGAUUGGCGACCCUCUUUAAAAAUUACAACAGGCGCAAUUGAUUGGCUAGGGCAGGUGCCCUAGCCAAUCCAAUUGGCGCCUGUGUGUAAUUUUUAAGAGGGGUCGCCAAUCCAAUUGGCGCCUCCUCCUAAAAGUGGGGUAUUUUGGGAAUUUUCUUGAAAAAUAUGGUAUUUUGGAAUUUUUUUCGAAAAUAUGGGUUAUCUCGGUAAAAAAACCUAAAACCUAAAUAAAACAUAUAGAAGAAUACAAUAAUAAUAUUAAUACAAUCAAAUAUAAAUCAAUACAUUAAUAUGAUUUCUUUAAUAGAAAUAUGAUAUCCAAAUAAAUUAUAUAUAUUAAAAUAAAAAAGCACAACCUUGUUCCUCUCAAUCUCAAAUUCAUGUGCCGGAAGCUUUGCCCAGCGACUCUUUCAACCUAAAAGGUAUCUUCUUAAUUCUCAUUCUCAUUCGCAUCUUUCACCUUUCAAUUUGUUUCCUUUUCGUUCCUCUCUGAACAUUGAAUCGUUGUUUAUCCAUUGUUUAGGGUUUUUAGCUUAAUUGGAUUGCUGAUUGUGAAUUUUAUAGUUACAAUAGAAACCCAAAUACUGUCCAUAUAAAUUUUGUUAUUAAGUUGAUUAAUUGUCCAAAGGGUAUUAUAAAAAUUGAUUUUUUAUUGAUUUUUGUUUAUUUACAAUUAAUGAAUGAUCUUAAUGGUGAAAAAAUGUUUAGAAGUUUAGCUAAACUGGUUGCUGCUUUGUGGUGAUGAAGUUGAUUUGUUACUGGGUUUGGGUUUGGGGAUACAUGUUUAUGUGUAUUAGAGUGAUUGGAGUGAUGAAUUGAAUUCUCCUUUCUCAAAGUUAUAUCCUUUAGAUAGUGAAUUUGGUUUCUUUUUAUUUUAUAUGUAUGGUAUGUAGCUUCAACACUUUAGAUAGUGAGCGUUGAGGGGUAGCAUCUAUAGUAAAAAAAGAUGGCGGAAAAUAGGGUUAGGUGGUUUAGGCAUGUAGAGAGAAAGCUUAGGCUUGUGGAUUAUGUAUAAGGAUAUUAGAUCAGAUGGAAGAUAGCCAAACAACUAGAGAUAGGUGAAGAUUUAGAAAAAUCUUGAGAUAAACAAGUUGGAUAGAAACAUGGGUUUUGAUAGAACAUUAUGGCGUAGUUUGGUCCAUGUAACCGACUCCAUUUAGUGGGAUAAUGUUUAGUUUGUCCAUGUUGUGGUGUCUUAUGUUUUUCACAUAUAUGGUGUCUAGGGCUCAUGUUGUGUCAUGUCUUAUGUCUGAGUCCGAGUCCGUAACUUAUGUGAUCUCUAGUUUUCUACUGAUGGCGAAGAGCAUUAUCAGAGUAGUAAUAUUGAAAAUGUUAAUAGAAUGAUUUUGCCAAAUGAUAGAUAGUUGAAGCAAAGGGAGUAAAUGAGUUUGAACAUUGAAGAACCGAGGUUUGAAAUAGUAAAUCCAUAGAAUAAUUUAUAGCUACUAAAAUUCACUGAUCGAGAGCUAGAAUGUAUUUCAAUUUUCAAGUUUAUAACAAUGUUUGUGUUGUAAACGUUUUUUCCUCUUUCUCAAUUUCAGGUGCAAGAAAAUAAAGAGCACAAAGUCCUGUAGAGAAUCUGCAUUCAAGCGUGAAUAAAGAAAUGGCAUCGUUAUUAACUCAUACCCAUCACAUAUUGCAUACCUCCACUUUCCCGACGCCACGGUCUAGAAGUCAAGGAUUGUUGAAAUCUGUAAAACCGCUCCAACUCCGGCGAUCCAAUUUUCCAAGUAUUCGCGUUAAUCAAUCCUUCAUAUGCUGCACAAAGUUAACUCCAUGGGAGCCAUCACCCGUUUCGUACGCUCCUACUGAUAAUCAAAGCGAUAAUUUCUUGCAGAAUACCACCGAUAUAUUUGAAACCCUUGAAUCUAGUCAAGUGGAUGAGUCACCAACAGCAAAUGCUGAAGGGCUUGUGGAGAAAAACGAUCAGCCAGGCCAGGAGCUUCAGUUUUUCAAGUGGCCGAUGUGGCUUCUCGGCCCUGCCGUUCUCCUUGCGACGGGCAUGGUACCAACGUUAUGGUUACCAAUAUCUUCAAUCUUUCUAGGUUCCAACAUAGCGAGCUUACUUUCCUUGAUUGGACUCGAUUGCAUCUUUAACAUCGGUGCAACACUUUUUCUCCUCAUGGCCGAUUCAUGCUCGAGACCUAAACAUCCAACGCAAGACUGCAAAAGCAAGGCUCCCUUCAGUUACCAGUUCUGGAACAUUGUUGCUACCUUCACCGGAUUCAUCGUCCCGCUUUCUAUGAUGUUUGGAUCUCAAAAGGGCUUUCUCCAACCUCAGCUACCUUCCAUCUCAUUCGCAGUUCUGCUAGGUCCUUAUCUUCUUCUUUUGUCAGUACAGAUUCUGACUGAGUUGUUAACUUGGCAUUGGCAAUCACCAGUCUGGCUCGUUACCCCUAUCAUUUACGAGUCGUACCGUGUCUUGCAGCUAAUGAGGGGAUUAAAACUUGGUGUUGAGCUAAGUGCGCCGGAAUGGAUGAUGCAUACAAUUAGGGGUCUGGUUUGCUGGUGGGUGCUCAUUCUCGGUCUGCAGCUCAUGAGGGUUGCUUGGUAUGCCGGGUUAACUGCUCGAGCUCGAAAGGAUCAAUCGUCUUCUUCUGAUACUUCUGCUGCUAAUGGUAUUAGUACUAAUUAACACCGUUGUAAACAAAUAGUUAGUUAUUAUGGUUAUUUUCUGUAGCCUAUAGUGAUAAAACCGAUAGUGAUACAUAUUUAAAAGCUAUAUAUACAAAUAGUUAGAUGCCAGAAUUCUCUGUUUACUGGCCUUUGUGCUUGGAUACAAAUUGUUCUUGUGUUAUCUUGAAUUUGUUAGUUUGGAAAAUCAUAGCUAAAAGGAUAUUAUAUUACUUUUCUAUAGAAUGUAGAAUGAUGAUACUGGUAUGUAUCUAGUGUCAAGGAACAUAUUUCUUUCAUUCAGAAAUAAUAAAUAUGGUCAAUUUAUUAUUCAGUAAAUUUAAAUAUGUUGUCAGUUUUUUUAUGCUAUUGACCUUCUUUCAGUUCCUAAUAGCUUAUAAGUUUGAUCUGCAUUUAAUCUGCAUCUUGAUCAAUACUCCUUGCAAUAGCACUAAAUCUCCAAGGAUCUAAAGUACCCAUUUAAGGGAACCUUCUCUAUCAAGAGAUGCAACUUCCAGGUAUGCCAGUACAUUGGAUAUCGAAGGUCUGAAGGUGAUGAAGAAAAAAGUUCGGGAACUAACACGUUAAUCCACAACUUUUAUGUGUCUAUCACGUAAGAAGUACAAAUCAAAUGGGGGAAAUAAGAAGAGUAAAAAGGGUGAAGAGAUUGAUGUGCAUCCUGAUCCUUCGCGGUGGGAGUAUGCCGAGGGUUCGUAGGUCAGACUAUAAAGAGAUUAUGCACAAAACAAGCUGAAAGUCAACCGUGUAGUCAAUUUUCAAAACAUCUUUACUUGUCUCAAUUUCAUGUUUUCUUACAUCAAUACAUUGAUGACAUUGUUGAUGUGGGUAAAGAUGGAUAUUGCGGUUUUUGUGUUAUUGCAGCUUUACUUGGGGCGAACAAUCUUGGCUUUUGAUUCAGACAUUGUUAGAUAUUGAAGUUUAUCAACACCAUCAAAUGUAUUCCAAUGUGUUCUAGGAGUGCGUUGCGGGUAGUUAGCUUGGAUGUGCAGAGAGAAGUGGAUGACGAUUUCUGAUAUGAGUUACUCUAUUGUUUCUACAUAUAGUGUCAUAUUGGUCUCGUUGUCCAGGAAUUUUAACAUCACAUUCUUCGAGCCGUCACAAAAUUAUUGUAGUUGGUUUUGUUGACAAUAAUCAUUGGGUUCAGGUGAAAUUGAAAAUCCGAUUGUCUGCUGUCUCCUGUCACAUAUAGAUGAAGACAAAACUGUAGUGAAGAUGCAAGAAGUUAAAAAUACAAAUAGAAUGAUUUGAAGGGUUAUUAUUCUCAUUACAAGUUACAAUACAUAUACAAGAGAGAGAGGAUCAUUCAUGAUCCAAGAAUCAAGGGAACUUAAUGUACAAGCUACCAAUAAGGAAACUAAUGAAGACAAAAUCAAAUAUUUUAAUUACAUGUGAUUUGUGGUUAAUUACUGUCAAGAUAGUAUUAAGUGACUUGUCUAACAAACCCCCUCCCCCCUUAAACUUGAGGUGAUAUAAUUACUCUAGUGUCUUGCUUUAACAGAUUAACGUUGAGUACGGAGAGCUUUGCUGAGCAAUCACUGCACUGUAUCUGCGAGCUGAGUACCAUAACAAUUUUCUGACUUCAUUUUGUAGCACUUUGUCUCUGAUGUAGUGCACAUCGAUUUCAAUGUGUUUAGUUCUAGCAUGCAUCACUGGAUUGGAAGCAAGAGCUUUAGCACUUAGAUUGUCACACCACAGAAUAAGAUUUCUUAAUUGGGGCAAUUUUAACUCUUGCAUUAGUGAGCAUGUCCACGUAAUUUCAGCUGCCAAGUCUGCUAAUGCUCUAUAUUCUGACUCAGUUGAUGAUCUUGACACUACCUUUUGCUUCCUUGAAGACCAAGAUACUAGAGUUUCACCAAGAAAAACACAAUGCCCUGCAAUUGAUUUUCUAUCAUCUAUGCUUGUUGCCCAAUCUGCAUCUGAAAACCUUGUGAUGUCUAGAUCAGUUGAUGAUUUAAUAUGUAGACAGUGAUCAAUGGUGCCUUGAAGAUAUCUGAAUAUUCUUUUUAUACCUUGCCAAUGUUCCAUUGUAAGAGAACUCAUGUACUGACUCAAUUUGUUGACAGAGAAGGCUAUGUCAGGUCUUGUGUUGGUUAAGUACUGCAGUGCUCCCAUGGCUUGUCUGAAUAGAGUUGCAUCUUUCAUUGGUUCCCCCUCAAUGGUAAAUUGUCUACCACUUACCAUUGGUGUUGAAAAAGCAGUGACUUUUUCAAAGUUGAAUCUUUUGAGUAAGUCUCUAAUGUACUUGGAUUGCUUCAAGUACAAGCCACUACUGUUUCUUUGCACUUCAAUUCCCAAAAAGUAGUGCAAUUGGCCAAGAUAUUUUAAUGAGAACACAAUGUUUAACUAUUUGAUAAAAGCUUCCAAAAAUUUGUUAUUGCUACAUGUGAUGAUGAUAUCAUCAACAUAAAUGAGGAGAAAGGUUGUGUGAUCAGUACCUUUGAGAAAGAAUAGAGAGGUGUCACUUUUGGUGUUCUGAAAUCCCCAACUUAACAGUGCAUGUUUGAGGCUAAAAGGUUGUGUGAUCAGUACCUUUGAGAAAGAAUAGAGAGGUGUCACUUUUGGUGUUCUGAAAUCCCCAACUUAACAGUGCAUGUUUGAGGCUAUCAUACCAUGCUCUUGGUGCCUGUUUCAAACCAUAGAUUGCUUUUGAUAGUUUGCAGAUGUAAUUUGGAUGUGUGGAGUUGAGAAAUCCCUCUGGUUGAUGCAUAUGGACUUGUUCUUUUAGGUAUCCAUUUAGAAAUGCAUUAUUUAUGUCCAAUUGUCUAAUGUCCCAGUUGAGAUGAACUGCUACUGACAUGAUAAUUCUAAUUGUGCUAGCCUUUGCCACAGGACUGAAUGUUUCAUCAUAGUCUAAUCCAGCAGUUUGCUGAAAACCCUUAGCAACUAAUCUUUCCUUUCUCCUUUCAAUGGAUCCAUCUGCUUUGUACUUGGUUUUGAAGAUCCAUUUUGAGUCAAUAAUAUUUUCUUGGCCUGUGUAUGGUACUAUAUUCCAUGUGUGAUUGGACAGGAGAGCUUUGUACUCAUUGCUCAUUGCUUCCUUCCAAAGUGGACUAGUGAGUGCCUCCUUCACAUUUCUUGGUUCAGUUUCUUGUAUUUCUAAUUCAGUGAGACCAAUGUAGGGUAAUUUUGGUUUAUGAAUCCCUACUUUGCUUCUAGUGCGCAUUUUGUGAGUUGCCACCGCUUCAUGUUGAUCAUUGAUGUUAUUACUUGUCUCAACAGUGUCUUAAUUUGAUGCCAUAGUUUCAAUGUUGUUUUCCUCUACAUUGAUUGAGUCACCUUCACUUUGAAUAGUGAGUUGUUGCUGAGUUUCAAUAUUUGUAGUUAGUGAGCUGUUGUCUUGACUUGCAACUGGUGUGCGAGUGUCCUGACUUGCAGUUGCUUCUGUUUCAUUUGUUGGACUCGGAUUAUCAUUACCUGCACGACAUAAAGGAAAUAAACUGUGUAAAUGGUCAGUAUUGGUUAUCUCUUCCAAUGGCCUUUUUGUGUUGAGGAAGCCAUCAUGAAAAGGGAAGUGAUUCUCAUUGAACAAACCUGCACGACAUAAAGGAAAUAAACUGUGUAAAUGGUCAGUAUUGGUUAUCUCUUCCAAUGGCCUUUUUGUGUUGAGGAAGCCAUCAUGAAAAGGGAAGUGAUUCUCAUUGAACACAACAUGUCUUGAGAUAAAGACUCUUCCAUGGGAGUUGAGACAUUUAUAACCUUUGUGAGAGUUGUUGUAGCCUAGAAAAACACAUCUGGUGGUGUGGAAUUGCAUCUUAUGUUGAUUAUAUGGUUUGAGACAGGGAUAACAGGCACAUCCAAAAGGUUUUAAAGCUUUAUAGUCAGGUUCCUUUUUGGUGAUUAGGGUGUAGGGACUUUUAUUGAAAUUUGUUGUUGAAGGCAACUUGUUGAUCAAAUAAACUGCAGUUGAGAAAGCAUCCCACCAAAAAGACAUUGGCAUUUUGGCCUGAGCAAGUAGAGUUAAGCCUAGCUCAGCAAUAUGUCUAUGUUUUCUUUCAGCUAUACCAUUUUGUUGGGAUGUGUAUGGACAAGACAUUCUAAAUUGUAUGCCCGCUUCUAAUGCUUGUUUCUGAAUUGGUUUGAAUUCACCACCACCAUCACAUUGGAUAGUCUUUAUCUUUUUGUUCAAAGAUGUGUAUGGACAAGACAUUCUAAAUUGUAUGCCCGCUUCUAAUGCUUGUUUCUGAAUUGGUUUGAAUUCACCACCACCAUCACAUUGGAUAGUCUUUAUCUUUUUGUUCAAAUGAUUUUCCACCAUGUUUUUAAAUUGAGAAAAAGCAUGUAUGGUUUCAGAUUUAUGUUUUAAGGGAAAGAUCCAAGUAAAUAUGCUAUAGUCAUCUAUGAAAUGGACAUAGUAUUUAAAACCAGAAGUGGAAUUUAUUGAGGAAGGACCCCAUACAUCCGUGUGAAUAAAAUCUAAUGGCUCAAGGGCAUGUGAACCAGAAGACUUAAAUGGUAAAAGAUGCAUUUUCCUAAACUGACAAGCUUCACAGAAAGUAGGGUGGUCACUAUCACUAGGUGGUGUCUUGAUCUUGCAAUUCUUCAAGACUUUGUCUAGCACUUUAUUGUUGGGAUGUCCAAGUUUUCUAUGCCAACUUUCCUUGAUUGAAAUGUAAGCACAGGGGUCAUUGGACUUAUUAUCUGAUUCUGAGAGUUGGUACAAUCCAUCUUUAAGUCUCCCUCUUAUGAGUGCCUUCCCUAUUAUUUUGUCCUUCACAAAGCAACAAUCAACAUCAAACUCAACAGUGAUGUUAUUAUCAUUAGUCAAUUUGGAUAUACUAAGUAGAUUUUUGGUAAUGUUUGGUACAUAUAACAUGUUAUGCAAUUUAAGUGAAUUUAGAUUGGAUGAACAUGUACCAAUAAUAUCCAGCUUAGCACCAUUUCCAACAACAAGUGAAUUCUUACCAUUAUGCUCGGUUAAAUCUUGAAACUUUUCUGUUUGAUGUGUGACAUGAUUGCUUGCACCACUGUCAAAGUACCAAUCAUAGUUUUGUGCAUAGUGAGGUGAGGCCAGAUAUGCACUGUGUGUAUCACCUUUGUUUGCAUCAGUUGAUAAAUUUGAGUAAGAUUUGUCAAACAUGUGGAAGCGAUUCAUUGCUAUAUGACAUGUUUUGUUGCACACUUGACAUGUUGGUUUGAACAUUCUUCCUCUGCCUCUGUCUCCUCUAUGGUUUCUGAAAUUGGAGCCUCUCCAAUUUGAGUUUUGUGUAUUUGAGUUGAACUUGUUGCCUUUGUAUUCAGUUUUGUUGACAACGUUUGCAGAAGCAUUGAGAGACAUAUUUGUGAGAAGUUGAACUUGUUGCCUUUGUAUUCAGUUUUGUUGACAACGUUUGCAGAAGCAUUGAGAGACAUAUUUGUGAGUUUAUUGAGUUGAUCGAGCCUACUUUCAAAGGCUAAGAGUUGAGCUUGUAGAUCAACCCAGGUGAGUGAUGAUUGAUCUAAGAGUUUGACUAUUAUAGGGUUGUAGUCAGAGUCCAAACCAUUCAAGAUUUGAAUGAUUAAAUCCGAGAUUGUGACAGAAUUACCCGCGAGCUUUAUUUGAUCAGUUAGCUUUUUCAUCUUAGUCAGAUACUCCUCCAUUUUUAGAUUUCCUUUUCUUGUACCAUGGAAUUCAGAUUUCAAAUAUGAUUUGAGAUCUGGAUUGAGCACCUGCCAAACUUUGAGCCGCAUCCCAAAGUUGUUUGGAAUUUUCGCAGUGCAUCAACUGUGUUACAAUGUUAGUGGUCAUUGAAUUCAAUAACCACCCAAGCAGCAUUUGGUCAUCUGCUACCCAUUCUUCAAAGCUUAGAUUUUUGGUCUUGUUUGAAUCAGUAGCAGUGAUGAACUCUUAAGGACAUUCUUUUAUUCCUAGUAUAUAGCCAUCUAGUUUACAGCCCCUAAUGACAGGUAAAACUAGUGACCUCCACAAGGGAAAAUUAUUUCUGUCCAGCUUGACAGAAACUGAUGUUGGUAGGUCAUUUUUCUUUGAAUUAGCAGCGGUUGUCAUUGUGGUUAUUGUGGAUCGAGAGCUUUCAAGCUUAAAGCUCUGAUACCAAGUUAGAAAUACAAAUAGAAUGAUUUGAAGGGUUAUUAUUCUCAUUACAAGUUACCGUACAUAUACAAGAGAGAGAGGAUCAUUCAUGAUCCAAGAAUCAAGGGAACUUAAUGUACAAGCUACCAAUAAGGAAACUAAUGAAGACAAAAUCAAAUAUUUUAAUUACAUGUGAUUUGUGGUUAAUUACUGUCAAGACAGUAUUAAAUGACUUGUCUAACACAAGAGUAUGAGAAUCAACAUAUACUGGAUGUAUUAGGCAAAGAAGUUAGAAAGUCAACAUAAUUUGUUUUGUAUUUAUGUUGUAACACUUUUUUGCAUGAUAUGUAUAUAUUUUAUCGGGUAUAGUUUAUUAGAAAUGUCAAAUAUUUAUGUUUUUUUCUAAAACUCACAGCUGCUUAUUGAAUUUUUCUAAAUUUUCAAAAAAUUUGGUAUGUAUUUUUUCAAAAAUCUAGUACUUAUUAUAUGUUAUCGGAUUUUUCUAAAAAAAAUAGAAUAUAUGCAUGGGAUAUUUCAAAAAACUAGUAUUUUGUCCACAAUUUUGCAUAUUUCUAUGAUUUUUUAUCGCCAAUUUCGUAAAUGAAUGAUAUUUCAUAAAAAUUUGUUAAAUAUAUGAUAUUUGUUUUCAAAAGACUCAGGGCUUGUUUGAUAUGGUUUUGGAAAACUGUUUUUUAGUUUUUAAAAAUUAAAAAUUAUAAAAUUUGUUUGGUAGUCUAAUUUUAUAAAACUAUUUCUCAAAACUAUUUUCUAUUUGUGAGUUUUUAAAAACUAAAAAUCUUAAAAUAGUUUAGAAGGUUGAUUUUUGGUUUUAGUUUUGUUUGAAACUUAUGAAGAGGACAAAACAAGAAAAAAUGGUACUAUAUUCAUCAAUGGCAAAUUUGUAACGAUAUUCAACUUUAAAACAAUUUUUAAAAAUUAGAUUAUCAAACAUGUUUUUUUCUCAAAACCUUUUUUUAAAACUUAAUUUCCAAAAUAGUUUUUAAAAACUAAAAACUAAAACUCGUUCAAACGGGCCCUCAGUAUUUCUUCAAUCAAAUGAAAAAUUUACAAAAAAUUGGAUACUACAAUGAAAAAUUCGAUAAUGAUUAUAAUUUUCAACCACCUAUUUUUUUAAACGGCCAAAGUUAUUAAUAGUUAAUAAUUAGUUGUCACACUCGGAUGUUUCAGGCAUUAUCUCAAUAAGAAAUAUGGCAAAAAAAAAUGCACGACACCGCUCUGACAUAGUUGUAUAUAUUGUUCAUCGUAUUUAUAAGAUGAACAAUAUUUUUUUUAAUAAAAAAUAUUUAUGAAUAAUAUAUGAACAAUAUCUGUAAAUAAUAUUUAUAAACAGUAAUUUUAAAGUAGUGAAACAAAGUUGGUGAAUGAAAUGUAAAAAGUUAGUUAAUGAAAUGAUGAAGUUGGUUAAUAAAUGUUCAAAUAUUAAAAAUAAUUUUUAGUUGUAAAAUAAACUUGGUUAAUGAAAAGUAAAAAAUUGAUUAAUGAAGUUAAUGAAGUUGAUUAAUAAAAGUCUCGAUAUUAAAAAUAAUUUUAAGACUAAACAAAGUUGGUUAAUAAAAUAUAAAAAGUUAGUUACUAAAGUUAUGAAGUUGAUUAAUCAUACCGUCUUAUAUAAAUAUCCUUUAAUUCAAAAAUAAAUAAAUAAAGUAAAUUAAAAUAAUAAUUUUUUAUUUUUAUUUUAAAAAUAUAUUAUUAUAAUAUUUCACUGUUCACCGUAUUGAUAAACAAUAAAAUACGGUGUAGCGGUAUGUUUGUGGUGUAGGAACAUCUUUUUCUAUAUGAUAUUACCCUUAAAUUUUAAUAGGCUUAGUUGCAAUUUUGAUACCCUAUUUUGUCUUUUUUUGGGAUUUAGGUCUCCCUAUUUUAAAAAUUACGAAUUUGGUCCGUUUCUUAAAUUUUAUGUUGAAUUUUGAUUUCUUUUUAGGGACUAAAAUCCAAUACAAAAUUUUUAAAAAUGCACAAAAAUAUGAUUUUUUAAAAUGGGGAUCAAAAUUCAAAAUUCAAAAAAUAAAAUAAAUGGAAUGAAGUUGCAAUUGAGCCUUUUUAAUAAUAACAAGCAUAUUUUAUUGAAUUUUACUGGGAUUUAAUUGAUAUACACUGACAGUGUAAAAGGAUUUUACACCGUCAGUUAAUCCUAUCCGUUUGAUAUUGAAAUAAGUUUUACUUUUAUUUUAAAAACCUAUAAAAUAAUGCAAACGGGUGAUGGUGAUGAAUCGCCAGUGUAAAUCUUUUUACUGACAUUUGGAAUAUGUUUUUGCUUAAGACUUAUAGGUUUUACUUCUAAUAUGUUUUUGCUUAAGACUUAAUAGGUUUUAUUUCUAAAUAUGAUAUUUUAUGAAUUUUGAUUAAUUUAUUUUAAUUUUUAACAAUUAUAUGUCUAUUGGAACUAAUUGUAAUAGUAUUUGUGUCACUAAAAUAUCAUUUGUUGUGCCUUUUGCUCUUAUUCUAUUUCUUAUUUGGGAAUGACAAUUAUGUGUUUAUUGGUAUUAGUUAUAAUAAUAUCGGUGUCACUCAAAUAUCGUCUGUUCUACUCUCUGCUCUCCUUCUUUUUUCUUUUUGGGAAUGGUCGCGUCGUUAUUCAAUAUUGAUAACAUAAAGUAUUUUAUUUGUUUUUUCUUCAUGGUUUGAAUGUUUGAAUCGUUUUUUAUAAAACAAGAUUCAAUCACUUUUUUAUGGAUUCUAGAUCUUCGUUCUUCAUUCUUCACUCAAGUGAUCCAACCACAUCUUAGUUGCAAGACGAUUCUCAUGCACACAGAUUUGAGGAGAGGAGAAAAGAAAUGAAAGAGAAAAUAGAAGAAAGAGAAGAUUAGUUUUUGGAGAAAAGAAGAAAAAUGUAUUGAAUUAAUUUUUACAAGUACAAAGACUCUUCCUAUUUAUAAUGAGAUUACUUGCACAUCAAGUAGUUCUCAAAAUAACUCCAUUCGACUUAUUACAACAUGCAUUUGAAUUUCUAAAUUUGACAUAAUACGAAUUAUAUUCGACUACCUAUCAAAUACACACAACUUCGACUACUACUUGCAACAUCCAAAUUUUUGUCGAAUACAUGUAGAUCCAACUACUACACACUAAGUUCAACUCAUACGAAUACAUGUUGCUUUGAAUUCUGCAACUACACAUACAUGCUUAACACAAAUAAUUAUAUAUUUAACACACCACCUAAUUUAUUGUGUCGUUAUCUACAUUUAUCAUAGUUCUCAAUCUCUUGAACAAUUCCACUUGCACAACUUUUGCCAUGAUGUCUGCAAUCUGAUUCUCAGUUAUGCAGCAUUCUAAGCUCAGUUUUACAUUUGAUAAUUGCUCUCUAAGAUAAUGAAAUUUCAUCUCAAUGUGUUUUCUUCUUCCACAUGCUAUUGGAUUCUUGGGAAAAUUAAUAGCAGAUAUGUUAUCAAUCUUCAUGAUUAUUGCUCAAUGAUUUUCACCUGCAAUCUCUUCGAUCAAAUUUACCAUUUAUGUUGCUUGACAUGCACAAAGAGAGGUAGCUAUUUACCCAUCCUCACAUGAUUAUGGAUCUACAAUUGUUUCUUUUCUUGAGCUCCAAAAAACUGGUGCACCACCUAGCAUAAACACAUAAUCAGUUGUGGAUUUUCUAUCUCAGCAUCACCAUACCAACUUGAGCCAGUGUAUCCCACUAGUUUGCAUUCCUUUCCUACAUGUGUUACAUGAAACAAAAUUCCAUAAUCAAUUUUUCUAUUGAGAUACCUUAGUAUCCUCUUAGUGGUUGCAAGAUGAGCCAUCUUUGGCUUUUGCAUGAACCUACUCACCGUGCCUACACUAUAUGCUAGAUCAAAUCUUGUGUGACAAAUGUAUAUUAAUGAUCCAAUAAGUCUUCUAUACUGAGUUGGAUUGACUUCAUCUUCAUCUUGAUCCUUUGUCAAUUACAAUCUUGGUUCAACUGGUGUUGAAGUUGCAUUGCAAUCCUCCAUCUCAAAUCUUGAGUAUCUCACUUGCAGAUUUUCUUUGGUGUAACAUUAAGCCUCUACUACUCUUGUAGAUUUCGAUACCAAGGAAAUAUGAAAUAUUUCCCAGGUCACACAUUUGGAAUUCCUUGCUCAUGUCACAUUUGAAAUCUUGAAUCUCCUUCUUGGAGUUGUCUGUUAUCAACAUGUCAUCUACAUAUAAAUAAAGUAUGAGCAAUUUACUUAUGCUUCUUCUAACAUAUACACCAUACUCAUUUAUGCACUUUACAAACUCUUUCUCUCUUAGAAAGUUAUUUAUCUUCUUAUUCCAAGAUCUUGGAGCUUGUUUGAAUCCAUACAGGGCUUUGUGCAACCUGUAUACCUUGAUUUUUGCCCUUACUUUAGAAAGUUGAAUGGUUGUCAUACAUAAACAUCUUCUUCUAAGGAACCAUUCAAAAAUUCACAUUUCACAUCUAUAUGACACAUAUACCAGUUGUUUAUAUUUGUUAGUACAACAAUCAACAUGAUUGUUGCAAUCCUAUAAAAUGGUGAAAAAACAUUAUCAAAGUCAAUUCCUUCUCUCUAAAGAAAUCAUUUGGCUACCAGUAUUGCUUUGUGUCUAGUUACUUCUCCUUUUGGAUUCAGCUUCACUUUGUACAUCCACUUCACAUUAAUUUCCUUCUUACCUUGUGGAAAUUCGACUAGUGACCAAGUUUUGUUGACCUCUAUGGAUUUCAAUUCCUUCUAUCAUGGCUUGCAUCCUCUUUGAGUCCUUGAAUGCCUCAUUUACAUUGACUGGCUCAAUAUCUUCAUUGAAAGCAUAAUGUACCAGCUUAUCUUCAUUAUUUACCACACCAUCUGAUGUGAUCACAUAUUCCUGCAGCUUGCAGGCAUGUUUCUUGUCCUUUGAGAUCUACUUGUGCAUGCUUGAACCCCAACUUCUUCUGGUCAAAUUCUACUGCUAGUUUCACUAGCUGGUUCAUCACACCAGACUCUUACUGAAUCUUUCUUAACAUUUUUAUUUCAAUCCCACUUCUUCAGCUCAUCUAUGACCAUAUAUUUGUUGGUCACAACUUGCUUGUUCAAGGGAUCAAACUGUUUGUAUCCACCAGCUUAGUGAUAUCCUAUCAGUAUCAUCUAGCUUGACUUGUCAUUAGUUUCUUUUCUAAACUGGAAUUGGCCAGGCACAUGUCUAUGUGCUAUGGAUCCAAACACCUUCAGAUGACUUAAGUUAGGUUUGACACUAAACCAACAUUCUUUUGAUGUAAUUUCUUCUAGCUUCUUGGUUGGACACCCAUUCAAGAUGUAUGUUGUAGUCGACACAACUUCACUCCAUAAUUCAUUUAGUAGAGGCUUUCCCUUUAACAUACUCCUUACCAUGUUCAUGAUGGUCAUAUCCUUCCUUUUAGUAGUACCAUUUUGUUGAGGAGUGUAUGGUGGCAUCACCUCAUGCAUAAUACCUUCUCUUUUACAUAGUGCAUCAAAGUCUUUUGAAACAUAUUCUCCACCACCAUAUGUCCUCAAGAUCUUGAUCUUUUGGCCACUUUAUCUCUGCACCAUAGAUUUAAACUUUGUGAACACCUCAAGCAGAUCCUUUCAUUCUUGAUUACGUAUGUCCGGAAUUUUCGACUGAAAUCAACUAUGAAUGUGUAGCGGGGUAUUCGUUACCAUUGGAGAUAUUGACUAAAUCCAAGGUAAAUCAUACAAGUCGAGUCGUCACCGCACUUCUAUUUAUCCAAAGGAAUGGUUAGAAAGCGAACAAAAACCUAAAAGUUUUAUCGAAUCAAAAACUAGUAAAAAUGUCAGAGAUCUGGGUAAGGGGGUUGGUUAUGUAAUGGGAAGGUGUUAGGCACCCAAAACAUCCUAGGUACUCCUAGGGAGCCCUUUUCACAUUUGUUGUAAGAUUGUUGUUUUUUUUGAAAAAUUAUUUGUGCAAACAUGACUGAAGGGAUGAGAAAAGCGUGUAUGUUUAUCUAAUGCACUAUGUACUAAAGGGAGGGUCAAAAGAAAAUGACUCGCACGGGUGUCGCAUCCACUGCAUACGUAUCUCGUCGGAAUAUGAGAAUCAGAGUCUUCGUAGCUCGGCUACCUAGGGGUUAAAGGGAAGUAUGCUCGGUAAGACAUCGCGUCUUAUGCCUACGUAUCUCAUCUGGAAUGAGAAUCAGAGCAAGUCGUAGUUCGGCUAACUAUGGGGUUAUGGAUUGAGUUUUGGACGAACGACGUUACUACGCAAUCUACCGGAUGCUCGACCUUUGGAGACUUACUCGCUUGCAGUAGAAGGAGUUAACGUGUUCUUAGGAGAAGAAAAAUCAAUGAGUUGGUAGGGUUAUGGAUACUCAUGCAAAAAGGCAGUCCUUGACGAAGGAACCGCGCUACCUGUGGGGAUACGAACACAUACAAAACAAACAUGUAUAAAGUAAACGUGCCAACAAGGCAAUCAGAAUAAAUCUCCCAAAUGGUAUCCCACAAGCAAAGUGGAAUAUCCAGCGAGCUAUCCCUGCAAAAGUCAUGUGAGCCUUCACAAAAACUCAACAAAAGGGUUAGUGAAACACGAUAAGCAUUUUUUUCAUGGAUAACAGUAUGGUUUCAGAAACCUCAAACCCUGUGGCAUACACUUCAGAAAUUAAACGAUUAAGCAUUCAAGGCAUUAUUUAUACAUUCAUACAUAAUUAUGAACCCGUGGGCAAAAACCUAAUGAAAUUCAUCCAUCAUACCUCAAACAUUCAGAGUAUUCAACUUCAAAGCACAAAGGUAAUGGGAAUAAGGGCAAACCUGAUUGGAGAGAUCGGUUGAAAUCAAAUGGCACGGCUGGAUUUGCAAACCAAUGUUAGGGUUUGCUUGAGCUGAAAGUGUGUGAGUCAGAAUGAACCUUUCAGAGUUGCCUGGAGGUUGCUGCAGAUUAAUUCUCACUCUCUCUGUCUAGGUUUCUCUCCAGGUUUUGUCCAGGGUUUUGUUUCAAUGAAAACUCUAGUAUUUAUAGCCUAAUAUUGGUAGCUUAGUGGGCUUUUGAGAGAGGUCCAAGUCUGAGAUUUUUUCUUUUAUUUAUUUAUUUAUUUAUUUAUUUAUUUAUUUUUUUUUAUUUUUUAUUUUAUUUUUUUUUUCUUUUUUUUUCUUUUUUUUUUUGCAUAACACGUGGGCUUCGCCUAGCGAGCAUGACAGCUCAUGAACAAACCUUUGCUCCUUCAAGAUUAACGUUUUGACUGACGAAUAGACCCCUGUUGGAAGUAACUCAAGUCUUUCCCUUGUGUUGACUGAUCAUCUAAAUAGAACCCACAAAGUGUCCUGGAUGAUGUUCAAGCUUCUUGGAGCUAAUCCCGAUUGACAUGAUGAAAUGCAAUGUAUCUAAUGUUAAAUGACCUAAAAAUGAAUGCGUGAAUAAGGAGGGCAAAUUUUGGGGUGUUACAGAAUGUAACAAAGUACUUAUUACCUCCAAUCAAUUCUACUUGAAGAGGACCACACACACCUAUGAUAUCAAGAGUGGCUUUCGAAUUACUUUUUUCAUCUUUGUUGAAGUUGUUUUUGUGUUGUUUUUCCUAAACACAUUCUUCAUACACUUCAUUUGGAAUCUGGAUUUUUGGUAAACCUGAAACCAUGUUUCUUCUCUUCAGAUUGUUGAUGUCUUUGAAGUUGAUAUGGCCAAGCCUGUAGUGUCAUAGUCAUUCAUCCUUGCUAGCUGCAAUUUCCAGAAACUUGUGUUCCAUCACAUAAAUUCCAAUCUUGAAGGUUCUAUUUUAAGAUAUAAGUGACUUCAAGAUUAACUUGCCACUUGAGUCGAGUACUCUUAUCAUCUUAUCUUCUACCAACACUUGGUAAUUCUUCUCAAUCAGUUGUUUUAUAUUGAGCAAGUUGCUUUUCAUGUCCGAUAUGUACAAUACAUUAGAAAUUACUGAUCUUUUGUCAUCUUUCCUUAUGAUCAGAACAUCAUCAAUACCUUUAGCAGAUAGGGUAUUGUCAUUUGUAAACUUCGCCUUAUUCUUUAUAGAGGGACUGAUGUUGACAAACCAAUCUCUCCUUCUAGUCAUGUGUGAUGAGCAUCCCAAGUCUAAGUACCAUUGAUCCUUGAACCUUUCUUCUUCUUUUGUUGUGACUAUCAACAACACUUCUUCUUCUUCUUCUUCUUUUUCUUCUUCAUGUUUUGCAAGUCUUGCAUCAUUUUCUCGAUUAUUUCUUUUGUUUUCAAGAAAAUCACUAGCAUAGUGACCAUGUUUCUGACAAUUGAAGCAUUGAAUAUGACUCUUAUUGGGUUUCCUUCCACCAUUUCUUCCUCUACCUGCAACACGACCUAUGUGAUUACUUUGGUUUGUGGGUUAUCUCUAAUUCGACGAAUUUCCUUCUUAUUGGUGACUCCUACCAUUUGAAUUGUUAUAACCUUCUUUAUUUUUAUUAUUGCCACAUCUUCCUUUGCUUUUAUUUUCUUUUACUAAUUAUGCUUGUCGAGCUGCAUCACCUUUCGUCUUGCUUGUAAAUCUUUUAGCAAUUCUUUGUAUGAGAUAGAAGCGCCUCUUGAAGCUUUUCUUUUGUCAUGCUUGACAGGUCCUUCGACUCUUCUAUGGCUGCAACCACAUGAUCGAAUUUCGGAAGCAAUGAGCUUAAGAGUUUUGCAACUACCGAACUUGAUGUUAACACUUCUCCACACAUCUUGAUUUGAUUAGCUAGUCUUGUUACCCUAGUGAAAAAAUCAACCACACUUUCACUUUCUUCUAUCUGAAGUAACUCAUACAUUAUUUGUGAGUUUGUAACCUCACAUCUUUCACUUUCUCAACAGCUCCAAAAGAUUUCUUCAAGAUGUCCCAUGCUUCCUUCGAUGAAUCUACAUCACCCACUUUCUCAAGGCUGUCUGGAUCAACGCAUUGAGGAUUAUAAAGAGAGUUUUAUAAUCCUUCUUCUUCAAAUUUUUAUGUGCAACCUUUUGUUCAUCUGUGGCAUUGUCGCCAAUUGGUGUUACUUCAUUCUUCACAAGAUCCCAAUAUCUUGAUAGCAGAAGACAACCUUCAUAUGCUUACACUAUUUAUCAUAAUUCUUGUCAUUCAAGAUGGGAAGAUUCGCUGAAAAAUGCUCGUUGGAUGAGAAAUCAUUACUCAUUUCUCUAAAUACUAGAUGUUUGAAUCACUCUUGAUAAAACAUGAUUCAAUCACUUUCUUGAUUUAUUCAAGAUCCUCGUUCUUCACUCUUCACUCGAGUGAUUCAACCACACCUUAGUUGCAAGAUAAUUCUCAUGCACAAAUAUUUGAAGAGAGGAGAAAAGAGAAGAAAGAGAAGAUAAAUUUUUGGAGAAGAGAAGAAGAAUGUAUUGAAUUAACUUUUACAAGUACAAAAACUCUUCCUAUUUAUAAUGAGAUUACUUGCACAUCAAGUAGUUCUCAAAAUAACUCCCUUCAACUUAUCACAACAUGCAUUUGACUUUCUAACUUUGACUUAAUACAAACUGUAUUUGACUACCUAUCAAAUACACACAAGUUCGACUACUACUUGUUGUAUUCGACUUAUUGUCGAAUACAUGUAGAUUCAAGUACUGCACACUAAGUUGAAUUCUAUCGAAUACAUGUUACUCCGGCUGAUCGAAUUCUACAACUACACAUACAUACUUAUCACAAAGAAUUACAUAUUGAAUAUUAAAUAUAUGAACUUAAACUCUUUUAACUUUUGGCUCAAUUAGUUUAAAUUAGUUGAGCAUCUCAAUUUCUCCCUAAAUGAAAGAUUUAAUUAGCAGAAGAUUUUCAAUUGAAGCUAGAACAAAGAUUUAUCGACAUGUCAUAAAUUGGUCUCAUGAAACUUAUGUCUUUACAUAAUUUCAAAUAAAUCUAAUUUGGUAUACUUGUUAGGUAUCCACGAUGCCGUGAAAGCUACAAAUAAUAGCGUUCUUUAUUUUCACGUUUACAAUGCAUUGAGACUCGAGAAUGUCAACACAAACACAAUUCCAAACAUGCCAUUAGUGUUUGUGCAAGUUUUAUCUCCUUUCAAGUUCACACAUGUUUUUUUGAACUAAAUGCGAUUCUUCUCUUAAUUUAAUUUUAAGUCAAAUAGUUAACAGAAGUGAAUGAAGUAGAGUUUUUUUAAUAAAGAUAAUUUAUUAAAUAAGAAAAAAGGAUAUAAAAUAUACUUCCUCCAUUUCUUAUUAUAAAUCGUUUUUUAUUUUUGACACAUAUUAAAAAAUAUAAUAAUUAUGAUAUAAAAAAGGAAAAUUAUGAAAUGUUUUACAAAAUUAUCUUUUAUUAAUGGUAUUGAAAAGAUAAAUUGACAUAAGAGAGAAUAAUAAAUAUCUAAGGGUAUAAUAAGAAAUAUAACAUUAAUGAUUCAUUUUUAUUGUAAAACGAUUUAUAUCGUAGUACAAAAUAUUUUUCCAAAGCGACUUAUAAUAAAAAACGGAGGGAUUCAUAAUUUUUUUAGCAAAAUCAAUAAUUAAACAUGCUUAAUUUAUCUCUCAAUUUUUUUAAAUAUACGUUUGGUCUCUUAUUUUAACAUUUUAAAAUUUUAAUCUCUUUAAAAAAAUUAAAUUUUAAUCCCUACUUAAUAUUUUUAGAGUUUUUUAUUUUUUUAUUACAAGGAUAUGCUAACAUAAAUUAAUAAAUUAAGAAUAGUAGAAAAAUUUAAUUAAAUAAAAUAAUAUUUAUAAUUUUAAAGAAUUCAAUGUAAACAUUUCAAAGAAAUAUUUCUAGAAAUAAUCUAUUAAAUUGUGUUUUUGAGAUGAUAUGUCAACAUUAACUUUAUUAUAAUUAUUAUAUUAUUAUUUUAUAUUAUUUAAUAUAAAUAUAUUGUAUCAAUUAUUAUUUUUAUUAUUUAUAAAAAUUUUAAAUUAUUGAUAUAAGUCAAUUCUUUUAUAAAUUCAAUAUUUAUUUCAUUUUUAUUUUUAAUUAAUGUAAGACUUAAUUACUCUUUCUUAAAAUUCAACCCUUAGUUUACAAAGCCAACCUCCCUUCCCUACUCUUCUGUUGUACAGUUGAAGCAGGUUGACAACAACAAUAAACAAAUAAGUUGUUAACAAUUCUUACUCAAGUAGGCUUAUGAUUUCCAUUCUGCUUAUUGUCGAGAUACUCUUAUCAUCUGAUAAUCCGUUUGUCAAGCCAAAGUUGGAAAGUUCUAAGUUGUAAUUCUCAUUUGAAUUAAUGAUUAAAAAUAUUAAAAUAGAGAAUAAAAAUACAUUUAAGUUAAAAACUUUUUAAAAUAUAAAUAGAUAGUAAAUUUAAAUAGUGUUGUAAUUAAAAAAAUAGAAUUGUAUUAUUUAAUAUAUAUAUAUAUAUAUAUAUAUAUAUAUAUAUAUAUAUAUAUNNNNNNNNNNNNNNNNNNNNNNNNNNNNNNNNNNNNNNNNNNNNNNNNNNNNNNNNNNNNNNNNNNNNNNNNNNNNNNNNNNNNNNNNNNNNNNNNNNNNNNNNNNNNNNNNNNNNNNNNNNNNNNNNNNNNNNNNNNNNNNNNNNNNNNNNNNNNNNNNNNNNNNNNNNNNNNNNNNNNNNNNNNNNNNNNNNNNNNNNNNNNNNNNNNNNNNNNNNNNNNNNNNNNNNNNNNNNNNNNNNNNNNNNNNNNNNNNNNNNNNNNNNNNNNNNNNNNNNNNNNNNNNNNNNNNNNNNNNNNNNNNNNNNNNNNNNNNNNNNNNNNNNNNNNNNNNNNNNNNNNNNNNNNNNNNNNNNNNNNNNNNNNNNNNNNNNNNNNNNNNNNNNNNNNNNNNNNNNNNNNNNNNNNNNNNNNNNNNNNNNNNNNNNNNNNNNNNNNNNNNNNNNNNNNNNNNNNNNNNNNNNNNNNNNNNNNNNNNNNNNNNNNNNNNNNNNNNNNNNNNNNNNNNNNNNNNNNNNNNNNNNNNNNNNNNNNNNNNNNNNNNNNNNNNNNNNNNNNNNNNNNNNNNNNNNNNNNNNNNNNNNNNNNNNNNNNNNNNNNNNNNNNNNNNNNNNNNNNNNNNNNNNNNNNNNNNNNNNNNNNNNNNNNNNNNNNNNNNNNNNNNNNNNNNNNNNNNNNNNNNNNNNNNNNNNNNNNNNNNNNNNNNNNNNNNNNNNNNNNNNNNNNNNNNNNNNNNNNNNNNNNNNNNNNNNNNNNNNNNNNNNNNNNNNNNNNNNNNNNNNNNNNNNNNNNGGGGUAUGCCUGAUUGGCUAUAUAUAUAUAUAUAUAUUGUUGGUGUAAGCCCUAGAGGCCAAUACUUUUGGUACUUCUAUCGAAUUAUUUAUUAAUAAUAAAAGACUUUUUCUUUAUUAUGUUCGUUUAAUAAAGUCCCUGGAAUAGAUAGUCCGUUUAAUGUAUCAAGUGUGACUUAAACAUGAGAUCACAUUAAACAUAAGGACACUAUUCUUAAAGUAUCCGUAGUCGAGCUUUAUUGUGAAGUGGGAUAACAUUAAAGCAUGAAGACUAUUAUGUUUAUAGACUGAUGAUCACAUCUCAUGCAUCAUGGAUAAGGAGUUAUCAAGUCUCAAACAUAGGUAUGAAUAUUAAGAGUAAUAUUUAUACUGGAUUGAUCCACUAUGAGAAUACUAUAUAGAAUGUUAUGCAAAGUGUCAUAAGUUAUUCUCAUGGUGAUAAUGGUGUAUACCACCCUUCGACCUGAAACCAUAUGGACCCUAGAUGUAGAGUCGAGUGUCUUAUUGCUGAUCAAACGUUGUCCGUAACUGGAUGACCAUAAAGACAGUUGAUGGGUACUCCACGAAGCAUGCUAAGGGACAUGAGUGACCUAGAUGGAAUUUGCCCAUCCUGCGUAACAGGAUAAAUGUCUAUGGGCCCAAUAUUGAACUGGACAAGGAUGACACGGUCUAUGCCUUGUGUUCAAUAUAGACAUAAGGGCAAAAGGGUAAUUNNNNNNNNNNNNNNNNNNNNNNNNNNNNNNNNNNNNNNNNNNNNNNNNNNNNNNNNNNNNNNNNNNNNNNNNNNNNNNNNNNNNNNNNNNNNNNNNNNNNNNNNNNNNNNNNNNNNNNNNNNNNNNNNNNNNNNNNNNNNNNNNNNNNNNNNNNNNNNNNNNNNNNNNNNNNNNNNNNNNNNNNNNNNNNNNNNNNNNNNNNNNNNNNNNNNNNNNNNNNNNNNNNNNNNNNNNNNNNNNNNNNNNNNNNNNNNNNNNNNNNNNNNNNNNNNNNNNNNNNNNNNNNNNNNNNNNNNNNNNNNNNNNNNNNNNNNNNNNNNNNNNNNNNNNNNNNNNNNNNNNNNNNNNNNNNNNNNNNNNNNNNNNNNNNNNNNNNNNNNNNNNNNNNNNNNNNNNNNNNNNNNNNNNNNNNNNNNNNNNNNNNNNNNNNNNNNNNNNNNNNNNNNNNNNNNNNNNNNNNNNNNNNNNNNNNNNNNNNNNNNNNNNNNNNNNNNNNNNNNNNNNNNNNNNNNNNNNNNNNNNNNNNNNNNNNNNNNNNNNNNNNNNNNNNNNNNNNNNNNNNNNNNNNNNNNNNNNNNNNNNNNNNNNNNNNNNNNNNNNNNNNNNNNNNNNNNNNNNNNNNNNNNNNNNNNNNNNNNNNNNNNNNNNNNNNNNNNNNNNNNNNNNNNNNNNNNNNNNNNNNNNNNNNNNNNNNNNNNNNNNNNNNNNNAUAUAUAUAUAUAUAUAUAUAUAUAUAUAUAUAUAUAUAUAUAUAUUAUAAUUCUUUGUGUCGAAAGAGAUUGUUCGACAAAAGCAAGGAAAUGUCGAACUGUAUAAAAGUCGAAACAUCAAAGUAGUGUAUCUCGACAAGAAUUUCGACUUAGGUCUAUUUUGUAGUGUUAGUAGAAUUAGAUAUUUUGGCCUUUACUUAAAGAGCAAGCAAACUCAAAUCUAUAAAUAGACGAUUCGUGGGAAGUAAAACACGAUGGCGUUGAAUCAUCCAAAUGAGCAUUUUUCGGCGAGUCUCCCAAUUCUGAAGGGUCAGAAUUAAGAGAAUUUGUGUAAACAGAUGAAGGUUGUUUUCUAUUGUCAAGAUCUUUGGGAUCUUGUGAAGGAGGGAGUGACGACGCUCGAAGAAAACACAACGAAUAAAGAAAAUGCUGCACACAAAGAAUUGAAGAAGAAAGAUUAUAAAGCUCUAUUUAUAAUUCAACAAUGUGUUGAUUCCGAUAAUUUUAAAAAACUAAGUGAUGUCGAUUCAGCUAAAGAAGCAUGAGAGAUUUUGGAAAAUCAUUUGGAGACGCAGAAAAGGUGAAAAGGGUGAGAUUAUAAACUCACAAAAGAACGUAUGAAUUGCUUCAGAUGGAAGAAAACGAAAGCAUAACUGGUUUUUUCACUAGGGUUGCAAAACUAGUGAAUCAAAUCAAGGUAUGUCGAGAAGUGUUGACAUCAAGAUCAAUUGUUGCAAAGAUCUUGAGGUCAUUGGCUCCAAAAUUUGACCACGUGGUAGUAGCCAUAGAAAAGAGUCAAAAGAUUUGUCAACAUUGACAAAGGAAGAGCUUCAAGGGACGCUUGAAUCUCAUGAAUAAAGAAUGGCUGAAAAAGUUGCAUGAAAGUCGAAGAGUGAUGUGCCUUUGUGUCGCAUCCUGCGAAAAAUCAACCGGCGAGCCUCGAAAAUAAAACACACAGAGCCGCCACUAAACGUUAUUUAUCCCAAGAUAGGGAAAGGAAACGCUCAGAGAAACCUGGAAAGACAUGGUCUCGCGACCAGAGAGAAAAGGUUCGGGAGUCGGUUACGCAAGGGGAAGGUAUUAGCACCCCUCACGUCCGUCGUACUCGACGGGAUCCACGUCCUAGAAUAAAGAAAAGGUUGCUAAACAUCACACACACACACGGGGAACGCAGGUGGGGUUAAGAGGAACGAGCUCGAUAAGGUAUCGCACCUUAUGCCUACAUAUCUUGUCUGGAACAAGAAUCAGAGCCACUGUAGUUCGGCUUACGCACGCCAAACAACACAAAACAUACAAACAAGCAAGGGUGGCAAACAUGGAGCCCGACAACCACUGGAUGGAAUUACGUCGGCAUCCGAACCAAAACACACAGUCAGAUAACAAGUUAACACACGCAAAAAAGAAAAAGGUUGCCCGGAGUGGUCUCGCACGACCACCUGCCUACAUACCUCGUCUGGAACGAGGAUCAGGGCGAUGUAGUUCCCCUGAAAGGGACUAAAUUGCUAACCAGAAACCGGGGAAAGAUACACAACUAGGGAGCUGAGACUCGAGCCUAAUGUUGUCAUGCAUCGUUAACCCUAAGUUCGGUUUUCUAUCCUACUUGCAUAAGCAAACUAACCUAACCAGGAAAGAAGCUAGCACACAAGCAUACAAUCAUAUAUCAUCAAAUGAGAACAGGUAUCUCAAACAAGCAUGUCAAUCAGAUAUCCACAUAGCACGCACUAUAGCCCAAACAAGGGGCUCACACAAUAGGUUUGACUGCCUAAGCAAGUCGUCUGUACGGGCUGUGUUUGCUCUUAACCUUGCCAUUACGAGGCUAAGGUGAAGCAGAUGAAAGGAUGAAGUGAGGAUCAGACCUCACAGCUCUUAUCCCUAACCAGGGAGAGCUGACAAAUGAGCAUGGGUCCAGAAUAGGGGAACCCUUCUAUACUCGAUGACUCUGACACAAUGUGCACUGCACAAGAUCUUGGGCUUUUGAUCUCAAUGCUACAACCAUGUAAUGGGAGCAAGGAGAAGACUCAACUGAAUAGUGGGGGACAGGUUGCUUGUCCCUACCUUCCACCAAUUGCCUUACUUGAAGGACUUUUCCUGCUUGGGCUUAAAAAUAAACAUACACAAGCAUUGCCUCUUAAGGAGGACUUCAGACAAUUUGCCCGGCCCGGUAACAGCCGGGUCUCCAGACUACAUGAAGAUUAGGAAGUUACCUCAAUGCAAAUUGCUUAUGCAAAGCAAAGCAAAGCAAUAGUUCACAAGGAACUGAGCAACUAAAGUACCUGGAAACAAUCAAACUCAGUCAGUAUUCAAUCAGACAAAUUGUACAGCAAACAAUCAAACAGUUUAAACAAUACAACACAAAGCAAGCUCAAGGCUUAAGCCCAAGCUCCAACACCUACAAAACAAUGUUAUGUUAGUGUACAAACAUCCACAACAUCAAUUAAAAUCAACUUGUAUCAUUCUCCAUGUACAUUGCUUUUUUGAUCCUGAAAAAUCAAGCAAAUAUUAGCAACUAGACCACUAGGCCAAGCCUAGGGUCCAAAAGCAAGAAAAAAGUUAAAACAGCAAGGUAUUCAUCAACCAACAUCAAAUUAACAUCAAACACAAGCAAACAUCAUUGGUCUCAUGUUUAUAUCAUCCACCAAGCUCAUGUUAUGCACAAAACAAUCCAUAUUGGUUCAAAUGAAGCACCAAACAUACAAACAGAAUUAUUGCAUUCAAAUCCAUACCAAAACACAUCCAAAAAUUCUCAAAUUAAAUACACCUAAACAGGGGUCAAUCAAGGUCUACCAUGUCAAAUUUGAGCUCAAUUGGGCAAAUGGAACCAUGUCAAUGAAAAUCAACAAAAACAGACACCAUUUCAUGCUUCAAUUCAUACCAUCAAUGCAUACAUCCACUUCAAAAAUUCAUAUCUCAUUGAAAACAAAAAAGAAAUGGAUGAGACCAAAACAAGGAGGUCCUAAAAUGUGUCUAGUUCAUGCAUAUCAAAUUUCAUGGCCAUACAAUACAAUGUGAGCAUUUCCCAAUCAUUCUACCAACCUAUGUCACAUGAGCUUGCACAAAUGAUCUCCAGAAAUGAAAAAUCAUGAUCAAAUUGAAAAUACAGUGAAAAAUUCUACAAAAAUUCAUCCAACAUCCUAACAUAUCAACAAUUCACCAUGCCAAAUUUCAUUCAAUUCUAACAUGCAUAGGUUAUCCAAUUAAAUUCAACAAGUUGACAUCAAGAGGUGUGACACAAAUUGUCACACCUAAGUUCCAGAAUUUGCUGCUCUCUAACCAGGUAUCCAAAAUUCAUGAAAUUUACAUAUAAAUAAUCCUCAAUGAGUCAAGAACCACCACAAAAAUUUUCAAGAAUUUAUUCUACAUUAUGAGCAUUUCAUGAUCAAAUUACAAACAUGUAUCAAAAAUGGACAUACAAUGGAAAACCCUAGGUCAAAUAAAAUAUUCCCCAAGCACAACUUUGACCAAUAGGUCAAAAAAAACCUACACUCACCAAGGAAGCUAUAGAAAAAAUUUCCAUAUUUUUCUGAUUUUUUUUACUAUUUUUUACGAUUUUUUAAAGUCAUUAAACAUUUUUAAUAAUUAUUAUGAAUUUAAUGGAAUUACAUAAUGGCAGAACUGUAAAUAUAUUUGGCGCGGGAGGGAAACUUCAUAUUCAAAUUUUCAAACCAAAAAUUGGAUCAAACACUCAAAAAAAAUCAGAAAAUCUCUCUCUUCCUCACGCGUUUCCAGAAAAAGUGCGAACAUGAAGAACACCAAAUCUUAACGAAAAUUAACAAUCCGCAUAUGGUUGGAAAGGUCUUCUAACCUAGAAUCCAAAUACGAACCUAAUUUUGUCUAACCAUUCCUAAAUCAUACGAAUCGAUGAGGUUAGGGUUUUGGAUCAUAACUUCAAAUCGAGAUUGCGCAGCCUACGGUACAUCAUUCGCAAAACCGAAAGCAUCACAGUACUCUACGAUCAAUGCUCUACACAAAGCAUACAACAAUUCAUUGAAUCUUGAAAUUCGAAAAAACUCCAAACCUGAAAUGGCAGUGUAUUUCGUGCCGUUCUUUCUGCAAAUAAGCUCCAAACAGGUGAAGUAUACACUAGUAGAAGGUGAGUAGAAGAGUUGGAUUCGAAUGUAAUGGCUUCUAAUGCUCGAAUUCAAGAUUCACCAUGAAUGAUGCACUUUUGGACAGCUAUGAAUUACCACUCCUUGUGCUCCAAUGACCAAAAACAGUUUGAGAUGAUGAUGAGAGGAGUUCAAAUCAAGAAGAAAUUCGAGAAUCGGUUAAGAUUUGAUGAAGUUUUAUGAAGUUUUGUGUUUAUGGUGUUCUUGAGAUUUUGAGAGAAAACUUGAGAAUUUGGAAAGUUUGAGAUCCAAUCUUGGUAAAAGUGAUUUUCUGUUAUGAUUAUUAGAUGAUUAGGCUUAUAUAUGUGACCUUAAUCCAUGCUUACUCCAUUAAUUAACCAAAUUGGAGUGUUAAGUGAAAAUGGUUAUUUGUAAGAAAGGGCAAAAAUGGAAUUUCACUAUGCCAGCUAGUGCCACCUGUUUUGACAGCACAUACACCUUCCAAUUAUCAUAUGUGAGCUGUAGAAACUUGCCCCAUGCCCAUUGGUUGUGUAAAUCUCAAAAUCACCAUGUGGAUGCAUUUGUCCAUUUUUAACCAUUCCACUUUUCAAGACAAAAUCCAAAUUAAAAGCCUUAUGCAUGAAAUGAAAAUUCAAACACAUUCUAAAUGCCAUUCCUGAGGUGUUGGAAAAAGUCCCAUUCAAAAAUUCCCAAUAUUUUGACUUUUGGACAAUUUUGCCCCUGGUCCAAUUCAGCUGUCCAGUUGAAAAGUGACUUUUUGCCUUGGCCAUUUUUGAACAAAUCCAAUGAUGCACCCUCAAAGUACAUGUCAAAUGGAGUUUGUGCAUAUAAAGAACUUGCAAUUUGGACAAAGUAUGUGGUAGUUAUGGCCUCCUGAUUACGGUCUUUUCUGAAAUUCACUGAGCCAUAUCUCGCAAACCGUACAUCGGAUUUUCAAGUUCUUGGACUUUUUGGAAAGGUGAGAACAAGAUCUACAUCUGUCAUGUUGAACAAUUUUUCAUUUGAAGCUUCCUUGGACUUCUGUUUUUGAGGUCAAAAACUUUCCACUUUUGGAAACUUCUAUUACAAGUCAGUUGCUAUUUUUGGCAGUUUUUGUCCUGACUUGAUUUUCUUCAUUCUUAAGCUUUGAGAUGUCAAAUAUCACUUGUUCCAACAUGAAUGAAGUGUAUCCAACUCAUUUCCACCUCCACAUCCAUCAGAUCAAGCACAGUUGACCACAGUUGACUUUUCAUCUGAUAGAUGAAUUUGGCAAUGCAUUGAUCAAUUUAAGCCCCAAUCUCCAACUGAAAUGGCUCAAGGGUGACACCCUAGCCUCAAUAAUCACCAUAUAAUCACAAAAUGAUCCUCAUCUCCAUCUCAAACACCAUCUCCUGAUUAAACCCUGAUUGGCCCAAUACAACUGAUUAGGGUUGACCAGUGGUCAAAACCCUAAUCUCAAGGAAUCUUCUUCAACCUCCUGAUGACAUCCAACCAUGGUGAUGAUGAUGUAUCGAUUCAAUCAACAUGAAGACCAAUACCCUUGGGAGUCACAAAACCCUAAUUCACAGCUCAAUCCUCAGAUGGCCCAUGAUCAAUCAGUACAACCCUAGGCUUGCAUUUUCUGACUUCCUCAUCUUCUGAUCAAGACUUGGGAAGAUAGCUUGCACUAUGUAACCACAUGUUAUGCGAUAUGAAAUGCCUAAUGUCCUAAAAUGAAAUACAAAUAUGUUAAUGCUAGUCCCAAGAGAGGAGGGCAAAUUUUGAGGUGUUACACUUUGCAGGCAUAAUCAACAAAAGAAAAGAAAGCUAAAUGGAAGUGGCUCGACGACAAAGGUAGAGGAGGCUACAACAAUUCGACCGGUCGAAAUCAGUAAGAAGUAGGCUAGUCGAAUCAGAGAAAGUCAUCAUACCAAAGCAACCAAAGAGGUGUUGUUGCAGGUAGAGGAUUAGGUGGUGGUCAAAAACGUGACAAAAGUUACAUUCUGUGUUUCAAUUGUUAGAAGUAUGGUCAAUACUCAAGUGAUUGUCUUGAAAAACAAAAGAAUCAGGAAGCUGAUGCAAAGUUUGCAAAGCAUGAAGAAGAAGAGCUGUUGUUGAUGGUCACAAUAAUAAAUGAAGAAAGAUUCCAAGACCAAUGAUACUUGGACUCGGGAUGCUCAUCACACAUGUCUAGUAGGAAAGAUUGGUUUGUCAACAUAAAACCCUAAAUGAAGAACAUGGUAAAAUUUGCAAAUGACAAUACUCUAGGAGCUGAAGAUAUUGAUGAUGUUCUGAUUAUGAGGAAAGAUGGAAAGAGAUUAGUAAUUUCUAAUGUAUUGUACAUACCAAGCAUGAAAAUAAAUUUGCUCAGCAUAUGGAAGUUGGUCGAAAAGAACUAUAAAGUGUCGAUCAAAGACAAGAUGAUGAGAGUUCUCGACUCAUGUGGAAGGUUAAUCUUGAAGACACCUAUGUCUCAUAAUAGAACCUUCAGGAUUGAACUUAAUGUGACGGAGCACAAGUGUCUUGCAACUGUAGCUGCCAUGGAUAAAUAGAUAUGGAACUAUAGACUUGGUCAUCUCAAUUUCAAAGAUAUCAUAGAUAUGAAGAGAAGAAAUAUGGUUUCAUGGUUACCAGAAAUCGAAAUUCCAAACGAAUUGUGUGAGGAAUGUGUGCAGGCGAAGCAACACAAGAACAACUUCAGCAAGGAUGCAUGAAGCAAGUCGAAGACAAUUCUUGAAAUCAUAUACUCUGAUUUAUGUGGUCCUAUCUAGGUGGAUUCGAUUGGAGGUAACAAAUACUUUGUCACAUUCAUAGAUGAUUUCAGUAAAAAAUUAUGGACUUACCUGAUCAAGAAGAAAAGGGGAGUGAUAGAGGUAUUUGUGAAGUUUAAAUCUAUGGUCGAAAGACAAAAUGGCCAAAAGCUUAAGAUUAUGAAGACUGAUGAUGAUGGAGAAUAUGUGUCGAAAGACUUUGACAUAUUAUGUGAGAAAGAAGGAAUUGUGCAUGAGGUGGUGCCACCCUACACUCCACGGCGAAAUGGAACUACAUAAAGGAAGAAUAUAACCAUUAUGAAUAUGGUGAGAAGUAUGUUGAAAUGCAAGUAUCUACCUAAAUAAUUAUGGGGAGAAGUUAUGUCGACAACAACAUAUAUUUUGAACAGAUGUUCGACGAAGAAGUUAGAUGGAAUCACACCUGAAGAAUGUUGGUCUGGUGUGAAGCCUAGCUUGAGUCAUCUGAAAGUAUUUGGAUCUAUAGCACAUAGACAUGUGCCUGAUCAGUUGAGAAGAAAACUUGAUGACAAGUCGAGUCAGAUGAUCCUAACAGGAUAUCAUUCGAUUGGAGAUUACAAGUUGUUCGGACCACUGAACCAACAAAUAGUGAUUAGCAGGGACAUGAUCAUAUAUGAGCUUAAGAAAUGAGAUUGAACUGAAAAUGUCAAGAAAGAUUUAGUGUGAAUCUUAUGUGAGGAAUCAUCAAGUGCAGUUGAAAGAGAAGUUCGACAAGAAGAAGCCAGAGGUCAAGCAAGCACAAAUAGACCUUAAAGAACAAGACACAUGCCUGCAAGGUUGCAAGAAUGUGUGAUGCAGAUGUUGAACCAGUCAAUGCAGCUGAAGCAUUAAAGGAUUCGAAGUGGGUGAAAGCAAUGAACGAGGAACUGGAGUCCAUUGAAGUAAACAACACUUGGUCACUUGUCGAGUUGCCUCAAGGAAAGAAGGAAAUCCAUGUGAAGUGGGUAUACAAGGUGAAGUUGAAUCCAAAGGAUAAGUAACUCGACAUAAGGCAAGACUUAUGGCAAAAGGAUUUCUUCAGAAAGAAGGAAACGACUUCAACAAAAGUUUUUGCACCUGUUGCUAGGAUCGAAACAAUUAGGUUGGUUGUUGGUUUAGCAAACAUGAGCAAAUGACAUAUAUGUCAGAUGGAUGUGAAAUGUGAAUUCUUGAAUGGCCCCUUAGAUAAAUAAGUUUAUGUUGCACAACUAGUUGGGUUUGUGAAACAUGGCGAAGAAAGUAAGGUAUAUAGGCUGCAUAAUGCUCUCUAUGGACUUAAGCAAGCUCCAAGAGCUUGGAAUAAGAAGAUAUAUUGUUUCCUAAGAGAAAAGGAUUUUGUGAAGUGCACAAAUGAGCAUGAAGUAUAUGUAAGAAGAAGUAAUAAUGAAUUGCUUAUACUACGUCUAUAUGUCAAUGACCUGUUGAUAACAGGAAGUUGCAAGAAGGAGAACGAAAAUUUCAAACAUGACUUAAGUGAGGAGUUUGACAUGUCACACUUGUGAAAUCUCUCAUACUUCCUUGGUAUUGAAUUCUACAAGAGUGGUAGAGGAUUAAUGAUGCACCAAAGAGAUAUCCAACGCAGUAUAGAAGACUCAUUUGAUCACUUCAAUACCUUUGUCACACAAGACCUGAUCUAGCAUGCAGUGUAGGUAUGACGAGUAGAUUCACACAGAAGCCAAAUGUAUCACACCUAGUAGCGACGAAGAGGAUACUAAGGUGUCUGAAAGGAACUCUCGAUUAUGUUAUUUUGUUUUCUGCAGUUGAUGAAGGAAAAUAAUGCAAGUUAGUGGAAUACACUGACUCAAGUUGGUGUAGUGAUGCUAAGGAUAGAAAAUCCACAAAUUUAUAUGUGUUUAUGUUAGGUGGUGCACCAGUUGGUUGGAGUUCGAGAAAAGAACUAGUAAUAUCAUUAUCGUCGUGUGAAGUAGAAUACAUAAUUGCUUCUCUCUGUGCAUGUCAAGCAACAUGGAUUGUGAAUUUGGUCUAAGAGAUUACAUGGAAGACUCAUGGAUCAAUUACCAUGAAGAUCGAUAACAUGGAUGUUAUCAAUCUAGCAAAUAAUUCGAUAGCGCAUGGACGAAACAAACACAUUGAAAUGAAGUUCCAUUAUCUUCGAGAGCAAGUAGUAGAAGCAAAGUUGAACUUGGAAUACUACAAAACUGAGAAUCAGAUUGCAGACAUCAUGACCAGGGGAGUGUAGGUCGAAGUGUUUAAGAAGUUAAGAUCUAUGAUGGAUGUAGAUAGCUUAGACAUAAUGGAUUAGGUGGUGUAUUGAAUUGUAAUUCUUUGUGUCGAAGCAGGUUGCUCGACAGAAGGAAGGAAGUAUUGAACUGUGUUAAUGUUAAAACGUCGAAGUAGUGUACCUCGACAGGAAUUUCGACUUAGGUUUAAUUUUAUAAUGUUAGCAGACUUACGUAUUUUGGGUUUUGCUUAAGGAGCAAGCAAACCCAAAACUAUAAAUUGGGAGUAACCCUCUAUCAUUGUAAAAACUUGAAGAGAACUUGCAGUUACAAAAAUAAAUUUCCAGUUUGGAAACAACAAGCUCUUCAAAAAAAUCCUUCUUCUUCCCAUAUUUUGCCUAAACUCUAAUUUCUUCUUUCUUCAAUUUUAUGUUUUCUUUCUUCUUCCAUUAUCGAUUGUACAGCGAAAUCUUGCAAACAAAGUAUGGUUGAUUCACUCGAGUGAAGAGUGAAGAACAAAAAGAGUAAUUAAUCAGAAAAAUUGAUUCUUAUUCACCAAAAUUUAUUUUGGAAUUUAUUAAGUUUUGAUAAAAUUCUUGAAAAAAAUUGAUGAAGUUUGAAUAUAUAUAUAUAUAUAUAUAUAUAUCAAAUUUGUUUUUAUUUUUGUUACUAGCUUUAUUCUUUCUAUUUUAUUAUUAGUCUUAACCUCUAGUGUUAUUUUUAAGGAAAAUAUAUAUUGAUAGUACUUUUGGCUCUUAGUUAAGUGAUUAAUCCAAAUCUAGUAUUUAUUUUGUAGUCAUUCUCAAUUUCCUCGUUUUUUAGUUUCCCUCAAUUUUCUUCUUUCGAAUGCACAUAUAUUCAUAUUUGUUAUUUUCUUGAAAGUCUUAGGGCCCAAUUGGUAAUAUUUUAGGUUUCAUCUGUUUUGAAAUAUUUUUUCUUAUUUUUAAAAGAGAUUAAUUAUUAUAUACUGUCAGUGUAAAAUAUUUUACAUAAUCGUUUCAUCACCAUCAUUCAUUUAUAUUAUUUUAUAAAUUUUUAAAAUAAAAGUCAAACUUGUUUCAAUAUCCAACUGUCAAUGUAAAAUCCUUCUAAAUCCUUUUUAAAAAGUGUUUAAUUUAUAAAACACGUAAAAUGAUUUACCUAUUAGAGAAGAUAAAAUAUUAAUUAAAAAUAGUAUAUUUAAAUAUUCUAAUGACAUUUCUUAAGAAUUUUAAUUAAUUUUUUGUUAAAAAUAUUCUUAUUAACAAUUGUAAUUUAAAUUAGUGGUGUGACAUGACAUUACUGAAUGAUAAUUUUUUAUUGGAUAACAAUAUAAAUAUAAAAUGUCUAACCAUAAACUUUUUUUCUUAAACAUUUGAUAGUAUUUUUGUUAAAAAUAAUAAAAAUAACUUUUCCUAAUAUUCUUAUUGCUUUUAGAAAAAUAUAAAUAGAGCUUUAAGCUAAUUUUACAAUAAAAAUGUUUAAAAAGGAUCUAGUUUUUAUUUAUUUUUAAAAGUGAUAUUUUAGUUGCUCAAAUAUCAAUUUUAACAGGCUGAUUUUCCAGGUUUGGUGUGCAUCACUUAAUAUAAAAAAGAAAUUGAACUUGAAAAUUAUUGUUAUUUUAAUUAAUAAAAUAUUUCACUAUGGCAUAAUCGUUAAAUUUGUUGCUUAGUAUGUAUCUCAAUCUUCUCUAAUAUCCACAUGCCCAUUCAAAGUAAAAAAGGAAAUGAUUAUGAACAAACGUAAUGAACUUGAAUAACGUUAAUUAAUGCCAAAAUAAGGAAACAUGUGUUCAAAAUUUGUGGUUGAUGCAAAAACAAGUAAACACGUGCUUAAAUUUUGUUUGCUUGUGGGGGGAUUAGGUUGGUGCAAAAAUAUGGAAAUAAAGUUUGGUAUGCUUAUGAGGAUUUUGAUAAGUAUGUUGUAUUUAUUAGUGGUGGUUGGUGUCAUUUAAAGCUCAUUGGUGAGUUAAACCAAUGAUUUAGUUUAUUUUUGAAUUAAAAAUAAAAUUUUAAAUUUUGUUUUUUCCUUAUAAAAACGUUGCUUUAUGUAUUCCAAAAUAUCUACUUACACACUAUUUCUUUACUAUUAACGAAUAAAUAAAUAUAAAAUAUAUACAUAUUGGUUCGAUAACAAACAAUAUGAAAUCCGAUUUAAUCUAAGCGAUUUUUUAUGGGAAUAUGAAAUCAAGUGGAAGGGGUGAAUAGACGGUUUCUAAAAGGAUCAAUUUAAAAAUACUUUCUUUUCAAAAUCAUAGUUUAAUUAAUCGCUCCGCAUAGCAAAUUUUUUGUAUAAUAUAUGUGAGUGGAAUGAUUCCCACAUACAUUAACACCAGAAACAAAAUUAACAAAAGAUGGAGAGGCUAAAACAAUAAACACUUCAAUCGAUAUAAAUUCGUUUUAUACGAGAUGUGUAAAUCGAAGUUAUUCAAUUGAUUGAGAAAUUUACUAUUACGGUUUUCAAAUUUAAUCACAAGUAAGAUCGUUUAAAAUUUUGAUCUAACACAAACCUAAUUUUAUACACAAAAUCUCUAUGAAUGCGGUCAAACCUAACAACAUGCAAUUUCUAAAAAAACAAUAAAACCUACGCAUACAAAAUUGAGAGAGAGAGAGAGAGAGAGAGAGAGAGGAGAGAUGAGAGGAUAGUGUUCCCGUUCGGAGGUCUUUGGGCUCCGAGUAGAGAGAGAGAGAGAGAGAGAAGAGAGAGAUAGAGGAGAUAGAGAGAGAGAGAUGAGAGGGGAGAGACGAGAGAGAGAGAGAGAGAGAGAGAGAGAGAACAUUGGAUUUAUAGUUGUUCAACACGUUUGUUCUCACUUUGUACCUAAUCCACUUUACAAUGAUUUUCUAUUGAAAAUUCGUAGUCUUCCACUAUGAUUUGACAACUUGUAUAGAGUUUUUUAAUACAAUCACAAGAUCCAAUAUAAUGCUGAAAAUUAAACAAUCUUCUCUUCGAAUGUAUAGAGCAUUGGAAAUUGAUUUCUGCGAGUUCUUUACUCGAUCUUGACUUCCACCUUCUAAAUUCAAGAAUUUUGCUCCCAGCGUCUAUUCCACAUCAACUUCUCUUAAGCCCUACCAGUUCCUUGUCUGAGUCUUGGUCUAUCUAAAGACAAUAGAAACUUCAGCUUUGUCCAUAGAAACUUCCACAUAGUUCUAUCGAAGGAAUCUUGGAGAAAAGAAACUCCUUCUUUUUCGCUAUUUGAUUGUCAAUCCCAGUGACAACCACAAAAAGAUGCCAACCUGAAAUAAUCAUACUUCCAAAAAAUGUUAAUCACAAAUGAACCUCCUCACACAUAUAUCACAUUGAAGGUUAAGAAACUAAACCAAACGACAAUAGUAAGCCAGAGGUUAAAGAUGAAGUGAAAUUUCAAAUGCAAUUUCAAAGACAAAAAUACAAAAUAAUUUUUAAAAAUUUGAAAGAAAAGUGUGUUGUGUGUAAUAUGAUUCAAAAAAUCAUAUGCAUGCUAUGUUUUCAAAUCACAAAUGUUUUUUUAGAUGGAUUUUGAAAAAAUCAUUAAUUCAAGUCAUACAACUCCAUGAUUCGAAUUAGAAAUACAUAACCAAAAUCCAAAAUUUGCAUUCAAUUUUUUAUUCAAGUCAAGCCAUUUUGUGAUUCAAAUCAAGAACUCCAUGAUUUGAGUCACGCUUUUCUGUGAUUCAAAUCAUAAGCACAUAGGCAACAUCCCAUUUUUCUUAUUCAAGUCGCCCUUUUUCAUGAUUUGAAUCAAACAUACAAAAUUAAUUUUUGAUUUUCACAUUCAAUUUUGAUUCGAGACAGUCAACUCCCUGAUUCGAAUCACACUUCAAAAAAUUAAAACUUUAACAAAAAUGAAGUGUUUAUUUGAGUUGAGACUUGAUACAAUUUGAGUCAUGAUUUCAUGUUUUCUUGAUCCAAAAGUCUGAUUAAUUGACUAGAACCAUAUUGUGUUGACUUUAAGCAGAUAGUUUAACGUAUGCAUGUGCAAAAAUGAUUUAUCACUCAAUCCUAGAAUGCACAACUAUGUGAGGAGAUUCAACUACGACAAAUAAACCAAAAGACUAAUUUGGCAAGCAACAAAACAUGAAGUAGGGAAAGUCUUAGGAGGCAAAGCAACUUCAACCUCCUCCUUUUUUAUGCUUGGCAAGCUUGCAAAUUUUGUAAUUGGAAUUGAAUUGACUUUGAGUAGAAGCAAAGCGUGAUGAAUGUGUUCCUCCUUUUGCUUGUGCUCCCCCUAAAACAUUGUAUAAAUUAAAUCUAGUCUCACAUUAAAAUCCCCCUACCACUUAAUAAUAUCAAAAAGAGAUAAAUGAUAAUGAGUCUAAACACAAAAUAACCGUCAAUCACAGAAAAAUGAUCCAGAGAAAACAAAGCAAAACAUAUCUAAGAAAAGCUAUAUAUUAUAUAAGAAUAAUAUAUCACAAAGAUAUAAGAUACAAAUUUUUUCAAAUGCAACAAAUAUGUAAAACACGGCAUGAAACAUACAACAACAAAUUUCAGAUGAUUAAGAAAUACUGAAAUGGAAGAUUAAAUAAUGCAUUAACAAUUCAAAAGUAUUCAAAUGCACAUAAAGAAGG
Molecule: long non-coding RNA, 72483 nt
Filed under: Lathyrus oleraceus (garden pea)
Lineage: Eukaryota; Viridiplantae; Streptophyta; Magnoliopsida; Fabales; Fabaceae
Description: Pisum sativum (pea) long non-coding RNA (PSAT_LNC032178)
Source: RNAcentral